RNAcentral lists this long non-coding RNA (52027 nucleotides) under Lathyrus oleraceus (garden pea). Its description in RNAcentral is "Pisum sativum (pea) long non-coding RNA (PSAT_LNC019233)". Lineage: Eukaryota; Viridiplantae; Streptophyta; Magnoliopsida; Fabales; Fabaceae. The record is from RNAcentral.
AACAACAUCAAGCCAAACCAAUAACCCAUUUCUAUCAUCACUAUAUCCUCCUUCGCCACACUCUGAAAAACCAACUAAACCCUCAUUUCACACUUCAAUUCAUCACCAAACAGAGACUAAUUUCCCAAACUGCCCCAUUCUUGAAAACUUUUUCCCACAAUGCCCCAUUCUGAAGAAAAAAAAUCUCAAACUGCCCCAUUUUUCUUUUGGGACUCGCCCAUUGAUUGGACGAGAGGAUGGAGACUUUUUAACGAUGACUAGGCUCGGCCAUUGGUUGGGCGAGCUAGUGAAGGGAGGUUUUUUUUUAUUAUUUUAAAAACUAUUAUAUAAUUAAAUAACUUUAUUAAAAUUGUUAUUAAAUAGUUUUCUAAUUAAUUCUAUAUUUAAAUAAUAAAAUUGAUUAUUUUUUAAAUAAUAAUAAUAUUUUCAUAAAAUACUAAUAAUAGUUUUCUAAUAUUGUUCUAUUAAAACAUUAAUAAUAAAAAUGAUUAUUUUUUAUAAUAUUAGUAAUAAAAAUAAAUAUUUUUUUAAAAUAUUAAUAGAAAUGAAUAUUUUUUUUAAAUAUUAAUAAUAAAAAUGAUAUGUUUCCUUCCAAAUUUUCAAUAAUUUUUUGGAAUGAUAUGUUUCCCUCCAAAAAAUUUCGAAUGAUAUGUUUCCCUCCAAAAUUUUAAUGACCGAGCAAUUGCUUUGUGUUUGUACUGUCUCGGCCAAUGAUUGACCGAGUAUUCAAGUAUUAAUUUUCUAUAAAUAGAAGGACUUGUAAAAACUUAACUCAGAGCACAAAAUCCUUUAUUUUGGUAAAAAUGUUUGUUUGGGGUCUUGUAUUUUAUGGACAUGGUGAAAAAAUCAGUGUUUGUCUUGAUCCGCAAUGGAAUUUUAGAACACUGAUUUCAGCCAUCUACACCGGCUUCCGACAGUUGGGUGGGCGUCGCAUGAAGGUGAGGAAAGUAGAGUAUCAUUGUCCAUACAAAACGUUGACUGAUGCAAACCCCGAUGGUACGUACAUGUAUUACCUGGAUCGGAUAGAAAAUGAUGAAGAUGUUCAGUGUAUGUUUUCGACACAUAGUGGUGAAGUUAAUAGAGGAGUUGAAGGUCCACUUGUGUUGGUUGUUGUUGAUUAGUUUUUUAAUUACCACUUGUGUUGGUUGUUGUUGUUGUUUAGUUGAUGUAGUCGUACUUUGUAACCAGAAGCCUUUGAUUAUCAAAUGUAUUUCAUAAUUGUUUGUUCCCAAAAGACAUUAUAAAUACACAAUGGUUUAUAUAUAGUACGUGCAUAGUAGUUAAUAAUUAAAAAAAAACAUAAUCAUCUGGACGGAUAUUUAAAAUAACAACAUAAUCAUCUGGAUGGUCGCUGGGACGAUCCUGCAACAUUAGGACAUUUCCUACGCAUGUGUCCUAUUUCACGGUAAAUUCCACACCUUCUCUUUUCCUUCUCAACGUCGUCCAUCUCGGUUCUAGUCCUGGUGCUGUUUGGGCGCCCUUUCUUCCUUCUUCUCAUUGAGUCGUCAUGGCAAAGAGUAAAUCCUUCAUAUUGUGGCCAAUUCUCCUCAUGGGGAAGUCCUAGAAAACUCUCCUUAUAGACCUUGAACACGUUAAGAAUUUUGAAGACGUCUGGAAUGUGAAUGGAGUAGUCCCAACGUAUGCUCGAACAUGCUGCGAUUACAUGGGAGCAAGGUAAGUGAAAUGUGAUCGGGAAAAUAGCAAGUGUACUAUUUUGCCUUUUAUAGUAAUAAUGGGGAAAUUCCCCGAAUGUCGAUCUCAAGGACUGCACGUUAGUAUUGAGUUUAAAUUAUCAUUCAAUUAAACAAAAAUAAGUGUACUAUUUUGCCUUUUAUAGUAAUAAUGGGGAAAUUCCCCGAAUGUCGAUCUCAAGGACUGCACGUUAGUAUUGAGUUUAAAUUAUCAUUCAAUUAAACAAAAAGUAUUAAUUUGGGUUUUUUGAGUGUAAAAAGAAAACAAUAAAGAAAUAUGAAAAUAAGGGUUUAUAGAGAAAAAGGAAUAAUGCCAGGGAAGGUGUAUGAUUUAUCCUUGUAAUUACUCUGAGAUACCAUUGCAUCAACAAAUAUCAAUUACUACCAGUUCUCAAGGGUAUUUUCUCCCAAGUCCUUGGUGAGAAAACCUUUAAUCAAUCUACCCUCAUUCAUAUGUCCAUAGCCAAUGAGGGUAAAGUUAAGCUGUAUAAUAUCAAAAAUGCUCUGGUUCAUACAGGGUAUCCCUAGUCCUAGGUGAUAUCUACUGCAGAGUAACCUGAUGAAAACCUUAUCACUUGCGGUCCAGCCUAAGUGAUAACCAUAGAUCAAUCUCGAUUGGUCCGAAAGAGAAAGCAAUAAACACAUCAAAAUGUUACCGUAAACAAAAUAUUAUAAAUGCAAAUGUAAACUCAAAUUCAUUACAACUCUAAAUCAGGGACACCCCCUAGCAUUGGGGGGUUUAGCUACUCAUAUUGUUUAAAACCAAAUCAAGAUAAAAAUUACACAUUAUAAGUAAUUGGAUGACUUUGAUCUUCAAUCGCUCCCGCUCAUGAAUCUCUUCAGCUCUCCAAAUGCCUUGAUCUCUGUAAUACUUGAUUGCUUCAUUAAUUGGAUGACUUUGAUCUUCAAUCGCUCCCGCUCAUGAAUCUCUUCAGCUCUCCAAAUGCCUUGAUCUCUGUAAUACUUGAUUGCUUCACAAUACUAUGGUUUGCUGUAUUCCAAGAUGAUUUUUACUUUGGUAGAAGACCUCUUUUUAUAGUGAAAGUUCCCAGCAGCAGUUGGACAGGUCCAAAGAUGUCUCCAUAAAGCCCGAAGAAUGAAAAGCUCGGAAAAAUUGGAAAUAUUGGGCUUGGGCUGACACGGCCCGUGUCAGCUGACACGGGUGGCCGUCUCAGCCUACUGGUCAUCCUGACACGCCCCUGGCAUGCCCAACACGGGGUGAAGUUCUGCCUGACACGGGUGGCCGUGUCAGGCUACUGUUUUCUUCUUCUGUUUCCCUUUCCCUGACACGGCCCGUGUCAGGUGACACGGGUGGCCGUGUCAGGCCUCCUGUACUGGGAUUUUCUACUCCUCUGCGUAUCGGACUCUCGCACUGUCGUGUUCUGAGUUCUCCGGUUCCUCUACCUGGAUCUGUCUGACAAAAACACAGUUAUCCCACGCAUAAAAUCAAGAUAAACAAAAUAAAAUAGAAUAAAGAUUAAAAAUGCGUAAAUGACAUAACGGAAGUAAAACUACUCGAAUUGUACCUUAAAUGCGUGCACAAUGUAUCAAAUGUCUCUGUUUUGCGUCGGAUCAGUAAUGAAAACUUACUAUAAUGUUUCCGUAUCACUCCCUAUAAUUCUUUAUGCUUUCCACCACUGCUGAGAUCAUUCACAAACGUCUUCCCUUUCCUUCCACAAGUCCUACCCCUCCUUGUAAGUCAUCAUUCACACUUCCACUUUAAAACACUGUUUCACCUGUCAACUUAUUUCACAUUCUCACCAAUUCUCUCAGAGUUAACUGUUUACACUCAUAAUUCGAAGUAUGCAAUAUCACUGACAAGUUUGAAUAGUCUCUCUUUUCUCAUCACCUAGACAUAACACACACACUUUUGAGGUCUUUAGGGUUGUAGCUUGGCUUGGGUUAGGGUAUGGAUUAAAAAAAGAAGGAAAAUAAGGGGCUUUUGGCUCAGAGUCGAUGUUAUAUCCUGUGUUGGUUUCUUUUAUUUCCUCGGUUUUCUUUUCUUAUUUCUUGAAUCUUUACCGACUACCCUUUUCCGUGCUUCUUUCUUUUGAAUCAUCGAGUAUUUAAUUUUUAUUUUUCUUUCUUUUUCUUGAUUCAUCACUUUUUCUUUUUCUCUUGUUUUUGCACUUUCUAGGGCUUUGAGAGCUUUUUGGGUUUUUACCCCAAACUUAGCUUUUUAACACAGUUGAAAUAUAUUCUCAUGAGUCUGAGCAGGGUGGGGAAGUGUUUUUGGCCAAUGGUUACAUUCAUGGUGUUUUAAACAAAAAAUGGAUAUAGGCUCAACGGGGGUUAACGAAGGAUAUAAUAAUGCGGGAUAGCUAGAAAGGCUCGGGGUUAAUUACAAACAACGUGCCUUAGUGUGUGUAUCAUGCAGUGACAGUCCCAGAGAGUCUACACAAAUUAAGAGUGAUAAAGACAAACCUGAAUGACGCUCAUGAUGAUUAAUGUGUUUGGCCUUUUCUGACUCACUUGGUUUGGUUAAGCUUUGACAGGAUCCAACGUGCUUCUUAAUUUGGUGCAAUUGCUUUCUUACUUCGGAGUGUGCAAGAUACUUGUGUCGGUUAAGCUGUGUACGUUGCGUCCGAUCUUUACUUUCAGCAUUGUCACUUUCUGGGGAGAUCCUUCACAACAAGCCAUGGUGAGAGGUGUGAUCUUUCAUCCAUUCUCACUUGUGAUUAUUACCUUUCCAACUUGUCAACACAGACUUGACACACAUACUUGCAGCAUAAUGUACAUUCAACCGACAAAUACAAAAUUAAAAAGUAAAAAUAACACCAAUAAAUUGCAAAUAACAGACAUAAAAUCUCCCCCACACUUGAACUCAACAUUGUCCACAAUGUUUGUGACCAAGCGCGAAGGAGGGAACUUACAGGGUCCUACUAAGGAGGCGGUUGCGGAAAAUGCAACAUCAACGGUUGCAUCAUGCUGCUCAUCUCAUCCAACAUCGCCCCCUGACGGGCUUGCUCGAUGCCUUGCCUUUGUUGUUCAGUCCUCAAGUCACCUAUUUUGGUCUGUAUCCAACCCCAUUGGUCAGUUGACCAAGAUGAGGAGUCCGCCGCCUGUUGGGUGGGUUCCUGAGGUUGUGGAACGAACUGCUUAGGAGGUGCUUGAGGAUAUUCUUCUUCUCUUUCCGUUCCUUCUGCCUGGUCGUCUACAAAGUGCUCACAUGCAAUUGGCGUGUCCUCGAGUAAAACACCCUGAUACCCGAAAUGCAAUGCGAUUUGGGUGAUCAUGCCUCCCACGGAAAUGCCUUCGGAGUUUGCUCGACCGACUCUCCCCAGGUAGUUUGUUGCAAAGGCAGCUACAUUGAUGGUCUGAUUUUGAGCCAUCGAGUACAUGAAGAAUAGCUCUCUCUGAGUAGCUACUCCAGUGUUGUCGCCUCUACCAAACAAUGUGUAGGCUAAACCUUUUGGGGCGUACCUGAAACAGGGAUUUUGGAUGCCCGAUGCUUUUGCACCUUUGGAGGAGUAAUUCAUCCUCCCAGUUAUAGCGAUCCAGAAAUCCUUAGGAGAAAACUCAUCUGGGACCGCUCCGGGUCCGUUCAGCGGGAGUCGGAGUAUAGAAGCUAACUCCUCAACAGACAAUUCGUGGUAAUUGUUAAAUAAUCGAAAGCGUAAGGUGCCAAAAUAAUACCUGGUGGUGUUAACCCACCGCUUUUCUCGCUGAAACUCCAAGGUGCUGAGGAACUCGAGAGUGAUGCGUUCGUAGGUCGGCGCCUCCAAACUCAUAAACUCGAGCAUGCCCAAGACGUGGAACAUUCGGUCUACCUUAAUUUUUAGCCCGAGAUCGGUCAGAGUCUUCUCACACAUAUACCGGGUCGGUGUAAGCUUGCGUUUCCGGUGGAUUUGGUAACGUCUCUCUUGCUCCGGGUUGUCAAACACAAUAUUAUGCGGAUUAGGAUUCCGGCUCGGACGCUUUCGGGACUUUGCCAUCUCUGCACGUUGUUGCUUUCCGGUAAGGAUUCUGUUCGAGGACAUUUUGGACCUGCAAAAAUAGUAUAAUUCCGAACUUUCGAGUUAGAAAAAUCUAAAAUGGUGGUUGCGAUCGGGACGACGAGGUGAGAAAUAUUUGUGAAGGGUGUUUGGGCUAUAGGUGAGUGAAACUUGGUUGCAUGUGUGGUUUUGUGUGGUGAGGUGAGUGAAUUUUAAUGGAGUUUGUGAGAGAGUGGGAGAAGAAGAUGAAAAGUAUGAGAGAGAGUAUUGAAAAGUGGUGUAAAAAUCUGCUAAUGAUGAGUGAUUAAGGAAAAAAGAGUGGUUAAAAAUGGUUUAAGUGGGUGGGCCCCACAAAAAUUUCAAAAUUUCAAAAAUUUUCCAAAAAAUGCGCACGCCUGACACGGGUGGUCGUGUCAGGCUACUGUUUUUACCCUUUUUCAACUUCUUUUACAGUGGUCCUGACACGGGCCGUGUCAGGCCACUGUUCUUCAUCAUCAAAAUUGUUUUCUUACAGUGCUCCUGACACGGCCCGUGUCAGGCCACUAUUUUUUUCAAACAUCCUUUCCAAAUUUUCCUCUUUUGACACGGCCCGUGUCAGCUGACACGGCCCGUGUCAGCUGACACGGGUGGCCGUGUCAAGCUGUCCUUUUGGCCAUUUUUUGGUUUUCGUGUCAGGUCAACCGCUGGUUCCUCUGGCUCCUCCCUAUGGGACUCUUGUAUACGUACAAACAAAAAAAUGCUUAGAAAUAAAAAGCGUGGGUUGCCUCCCACGAAGCGCUUCGUUUAACGUCGCAUGGCUCGACGAUUCAUUUCCCUUAUCAUGGGGGGUAUUUCAGGUUCACAACCUUGUUGCACCUCUUGUCUACAACUCGGACAUUGUCUCUUUUAUCAGUGUGGACUCCUUUGUUCCCCGAUUCUUUUUUAACCUUCCUUUUGGUGCUAGGAAUCCUUCCGUUUAGGGUGGCUACUGGCAGUGGUGAGACUUUGAUAGUAUUCAAUGUUCUGAUCAGGCUUACUUGAUACUGAGAUCAUGUAUCUUCCUCCAUCUCCUGGUCUUUAAUAGCGUCCAAUGUUAUUUCCUUGUUGUGAACUUUCAAGGUUAACGUGCACUCAUCCAUGUCGAGCUUGCAUCGACUCGUCUUCAUGAAAGGUCGACCCAGAAUGAUGGGUGCCUCAUUGUCUUCCGGUAUGUCUAGGAUUACAAAAUCGAUUGGAAAAGUCAAGUCCGCUAUUGUUACCAACACACCUUUGGCUAUACCAUAUGCAUCUUUUCUUGAGUGAUCCGCAAACUUCAGAUUGGUCUUUAUAUCACUGAUAUUUUUAAUACCCAGCCCGUGAUAGAUUGAUAAUGGCAUCAAAUUCACACUAGCUUCAGAAUCUAUUAGUACCUUCUUGAAGGUUCUUUCUUUGAUUGUGCAUGGUACUGUGACAGUCCCUGGAUCCUUUUGUUUGUUAGGAAUGUUCUGCUCCAGGGAGUUUGUAUUAUAUUGUUCCUCACCGGAUACAUGUUCUUCAGUGGUUGGUUUUUUUUCAGCCAUUAACUUUUCCACUAAUUUCUUGUACAUGGGUAUCCUUUCAAGUGCUUCAAAUAAGGCCAUAUGACCCUCAAUCUUUUUAAAUAUUGUCAUGAAUUUCUCCAAGUAUGAUCCACUAGGUUCCUUCUUUGUCAUUCUCUGAGGGUAUGGCAACUUAAUCAUCAGUUUAGUUUCUUUCAUAUUUUCUUCUUUAGUUGGCUCGCUUGGUGAUAUAAUUUUUUUCUUUUUAGCCGCCUUUUUCCCUGUUGUCGUGACAGUGUUAACAUUCUCCUGACCUCUCGGAUUUUGAACUGUUUCACUUGGAAGGGAACCUGGUGUUCGAGAACUUGCCAGUUGUUGCGCUAUCUGCCCUAGCUGGACUUCAAGAUUCUUUAGGGAGGCGGUGGUGUUUUUCUGAUUGUUUCUAGUCUCUUCUUCAAAUUGCCUAUUUUGAGUUGUUAGGUUUUCAAUGGCAAUAUCCUAGUCUGCCUUCUUAGGUGCCUGUUAUUGUUGUUGUUGUUGGUGAUACUGAGUUUGAUAUUGCCAUGUACCUUGUUGCGGAACAUUCCCUCUCUAAUCUUUCCAGGAGAAGUUUGGAUGAUUCUUCCAACCUGGGUUGUAAGUAUUAGAGUAGGGAUUAUUCUGCUUCAAGAAUUUGAUCUCUUCAAUUUGUUGGGGAGUUGCAAAGCAAUAGACAGUGUGGUGAGGUCCAUUACAGAUUUCACAAGUGCUCUCCUGAACUGGUUGAACUUGCACGACCUAUUGAAUACUUAUAUUCAUAGCUUUCAGCUUUUUGUCUACUUCAGCAGCAACAGUGUCUUCCAGACGGAUUUUAUUUGUCUCUAAUUUUAGAUCAAUCACCCUAUCUGACUGCCUGGUACACCUGUCAUAGAGCUCUAGAUGCUCAUUAGCCGUUAUUGCUUCAAUGAUCCUCUUGAUACCGGUGGCUGUUGAGAAAUUUGUUGAGCCACCGGCUACUGUAUCAAUCAACUGUUUUGUCUUUAAUUUCAACCCAUUGACGAACAUCUGCAUUUGUUCUGUCUGAUCCAUAUUAUGAGUGGGACACGCGACUAAGAUCCUUUUGAAUCUUUUGUAUGUGUCUCCCAAUGAUUCACCAUCCUUCUGUUUGAAAUUCAGAAUUUCAUACCUUUUUCUCAGGAAUACUGAUGCUGGAAAAUACUCAUUUAAGAAUGCAGUUUCCAUCUCCUCCCAGGAAGUGAUACUCAUCCUUCUGUUUGAAAUUCAGAAUUUCAUACCUUUUUCUCAGGAAUACUGAUGCUGGAAAAUACUCAUUUAAGAAUGCAGUUUCCAUCUCCUCCCAGGAAGUGAUACUACCGGCCGGGAGAGAAUAAAACCAUUCUUCAGCGUCUUCAGCUAAAGUGAACGAGAACAUUCUUAAUUUUUUUGCUUCAUCGGUGUGACCAUCAAUUUUCAAGGUGGUGCUCAUGGUCAGAAAUCUCUGCAGGUGUUUGUUGGCAUCUUCAUUAACCUUUCCGGUGAAAGGUUUUCUUUCCAAUUGAUUGAUAGUGCUAAGAUGCAGUUGAAAAUUUGUCACAUUCACCGGUUGGUUAACUAUCGUUAUUCGACCACCCGGUGCGUUUUCACCUCCGUAGUCACCUAGGAGUCUCUCCGGAGGUGGAAGAGGUGGAAUUGGAGGAACUUCAGCCAUAGGUUCCUUGACUUCUGGUUGAUCUGAGGUACUUUCUUCUGUAGAAUCCACUCUUUGUUCUCCGUGUCUUCUAUGAAGGGUUCUCUCGAUCUCUGCGUCAAAAGGAAUUUCAGCUGAGGGUUUUCCUCGCAUACACUGGUUAGUAAAAUAUAAAUGACAGAAAAAUAAUUUUAUUGCAGAUCAACAAAAUUUUAAUUAAAAUAAAAUUAAACUCUAUAUUUUUGGCAGUCCCCGGCAACGACGCCAAAAACUUGAUCGGGAAAAUAACAAGUGUACUAUUUUGCCUUUUAUAGUAAUAAUGGGGAAAUUCCCCGAAUGUCGAUCUCAAGGACUGCACGUUAGUAUUGAGUUUAAAUUAUCAUUUAAUUAAACAAAAAGUAUUAAUUUGGGUUUUUUGAGUGUAAAAAGAAAAUAAUAAAGAAAUAUGAAAAUAAGGGUUUAUAGAGAAAAAGGAACAAUGCCAGGGAAGGUGUAUGAUUUAUCCUUGUAAUUACUCUGAGAUACUAUUGUAUCAACAAAUAUCAAUUACUACCAGUUCUCAAGGGUAUUUUCUCCCAAGUCCUUGGUGAGAAAACCUUUAAUCAAUCUACCCUCAUUCCUAUGUCGAUAUCCAGUGAGGGUGAAGUUAAGCUGUAUAAUAUAAAAAAUGCUCUGGUUCAUACAGGGUAUCCCUAGUCCUAGGUGAUAUCUACUGCAGAGUAACCUGAUGAAAACCUUAUCACUGGCGGUCUAGCCUAAGUGAUAACCAUAGAUCAAUCUCGAUUGGUUCGAAAGAGAAAGCAAUAAACACAUCAAAAGGUUACCGUAAAUAAAAUAUUAUAAAUGCAAAUGUAAACUCAAAUUCAUUACAAUUCUAAAUCAGGGACACCCCAUAGCUUGGGGGGGGGGGGGGGUUAGCUACUCAUAUUGUUUAAAACCAAAUCAAGAUAAAAUUACACAUUAUAAGUAAUUGGAUGACUUUGAUCUUCCAAUCGCUCCCGCUCAUGAAUCUCUUCAGCUCUCCAAAUGCCUUGAUCUCUGUAAUACUUGAUUGCUUCAUAAUACUGUGGUUUGCCUGUAUUCCAAGAUGAUUUUUCCUUUGGUAGAAGACCUCUUUUUAUAGUGAAAGUUCCAGCAAACAAUUGGACAGGUCAAAGAUGUCUCCACAAAGCCCGAAGAAUGAAAAGCCGGAAAAUUGGAAAUAUUGGGCUUGGGCUGAACACGGCCCGUGUCAGUCUGACACGGGUGCCCGUGUCAGCCUACUGGUCAUCCUGACACGCCCCUGGCAUGCCCAACACGGGGUGAAGUUCUGCCCGACAUGGCCCGUGUCAGCUGACACGAGUGGCCGUGUCAGGCUACUGUUUUCUUCUUCUGUUUCCCUUUCCCUGACACGACCCGUGUCAGGUGACACGAGUGGCCGUGUCAGGCCUCCUGUACUGGGAUUUUCUGCUCCUUUGCGUAUCGGACUCUCGCACUGUCGUGUUCUGAGUUCUCCGGUUCCUCUACCUGGAUCUGUUUGGCAAAAACACAGUUAUCCCACGCAUAAAAUCAAGAUAAACAAAAUAAAAUAGAAUAAAGAUUAGAAAUGCGUAAAUGACAUAACGGAAGUAAAACUACUCGAAUUGUACCUUAAAUGCGUGCACAGUGUAUCAAAUGUCUCUGUUUUGUGUCGGAUCAGUAAUGAAAACUUACUAUAAAUGGUGACUGAUCAAAAUGCCUGAAAUUUCCCACAAUCACAAUGUUGUUUCCUUAGAUUAACGAUGAAUGUUCCGGUUGGCCGACCGUCGUUAUGAUUAAUCUUCUCUUGGACCAUGAAAUAAAAUCUCUCGCGAUCGAAUUGCAUGACGUUUUGCAUGUUAGCUUUGAUGACUUCCUCAGCCAUCCCCUUGUUGCAGUUAUCAGUGAAAACCUACCCAGAGGCUAACAUUUUUAUCCAUUGAUGGCCUCUUCUACUAAAUAGUGAUCUUAAUUGAUAGUACGUAGAUUUGACCAAUGCAAUGAUUGGAAGGUUUCAGGUUUCUUUUAGCACCAAGUUCAUUACUUCUGCUAGGUUAGUUGUCAUGUGACCCCAGCGUUGCCCUCCGUCAAAUGCCCUUGCCCACUUCUCCCGAGGGAUGUUGUCUAUCCAUGAUAAAGCGUUGUUGUUUGUUCUUCAGAUUUCCCCCCGAUAGUUAAAUUUUGCCUCUGUUAACGCAUAACCCAUGUUAACAACUAUUUUGCGUAGAUCCUUGUCUUUAAUCUCUCGCAUGAAGUUUUGUGCGAUGUGUCUAAUGCAAUAGACGUGUGAUGAUGGAGGAUACUGCCAUCCAUUUUCCGGAUUGUUAUAUGCAUUCUUUAUCAAUUCAUGUCUGUCUGAUAUUAGACACAUAUUUGCUUGGGGAGUAACGUGUAUUCUUAAAUUUUUAAGAAAGAAACUCCAAGCUCCUUUGUCUCACUUUCAACCAAUGCGAACGCUAUCGGAAAUAUGUUCCCGUUCCUAUCCUGUGCCACAACCAUCAAUAGAGUCCCUCUGUACUUGCCAUACAACCAUGUUCCAUCAACCUGCACAAUAAGUUUACAAUACGCGAAACCACGUAUACAUGGUCGAAACGCCCAAAACAGACGAUGAAAUAUCCUUUGGUCACCCAAGUGUGAACCAUCAUUUGAAAUCACAGGUAAGGAUUGCAAUUCUAUAAUGGUUCAAUACGCGAAACCACGUAUACAUGGUCGAAACGCCCAAAACAGACGAUGAAAUAUCCUUUGGUCACCCAAGUGUGAACCAUCAUUUGAAAUCACAGGUAAGGAUUGCAAUUCUAUAAUGGUACCUGAUAGAUAUGUUUUCAUUACCAGUAUCCACUACGGCAUAUCGUUGUAAGAUGUCUCUCAAUUUCCAUACAGCGAGUCAAUUGCCUUACACUUUGCAAUCCAUGCCUUUUUGUAGGAUAUGAUAUACCUGUAUUUCUCAGCAACGUGAGCAAUGAUAACCUUCACCUUAAGAUAAGCGUCCCGAUUUACAAGCUCCGUUAUGCUCUUACUAAUCAUUUCUGAACUGAGUUUUGUAUGGUCUUGUGACAUGGAAGUGGUUGUGCACGUAUGAGGCACACCAGACUUACCAACUCUCCACCUUGAGUUGCCCUUACGCAAAUAGACCCUGCAUUUGAAAUUGCAUGUUGAAUUUCUACAUUUGAUGACAACACGUACAUUGUCAGAUUUAACCACAGAAAAAUCUAGACUACGUUUUAUAUGCCAUUGUUGCAAUGCUAGAACACACUCUUCCUUAUUUUCAUACUCGAUGCCCUCCUCUAUUUCGUCAGCAUUGUGAGUUGGUAUGAAACUUUCGAAAAUGGAGAUUGGUUCAACAUCAUCCAAACUUAUGUUUUGCAUGUGCACAGGUGGGUUGUACAAACUAAUUGGUUGCGCUCUUAGUGCAACGGUCGGUGUGUCGAAGAUCUCUUCAUUGCCAUCGUCAUCGCUAACACCAAAUAGAUCUUCAAAUCGAACCUCCUCAAGAUCAUCCUUACUAUUCUCGCCUACCUCUUCAUUUGGUAUGAAAGGUUCAUUAUUUUGAGUCGGUUCUUUGUCAAUGGCUUGACUCAUUCCGUACUCGUGUGACUGUAUAGAUUGCGUUGGAUAAUAGAGAUUUUCAUUGUGACUUGGUUGUUCUUCAAGAUUUUCGAUUAGACGAACAUAUAUCUCAAUGGUGGGUAAUUGAGAUAAUGUUAUAUGACAUUGAAAAAUCGACUUGACAUCUUCGUCAGUCUGAAUGGGUGUCAUUAUGUAAAAGACGGUAUUAUCAUCUCCAUUAAAUAAUGGAUGGCGAUAAAUGAUGUCUUCAACAUAACUUUGUAACUUUUUUUUCAACACGGUCUUUUAAAUGAUGGAAGUCGAAGUUGGUGUGAAUUUUGAACAUAUGCAAAUUCGUAUUGCAAAAUGAGAAUCCCUCAUUUGCAUCUGUGAAAAGGGACCCUUCGGAAUGGAUAGACACAAUUAAAUUUCUUUGAGCCAUGAAUGUGGAAUAUUUGAUUUUGCAAAUUCGUAUUGCAAAAUGAGAAUCCCUCAUUUGCAUCUGUGAAAAGGGACCCUUCGGAAUGGAUAGACACAAUUAAAUUUCUUUGAGCCAUGAAUGUGGAAUAUUUGAUUUGAUUAAGGAGAUACGAUUGUAGAAUAUUUGAUUUGAUGAAAAUAAGUAAAGAUAUAAAUGUAGUAGAUUUGGUUUGAUGAGAAUGGUUGAAGAUAUGAAUAAUAUUUGGUAAGAUGAAGGAGAUAUGAAUGUAGAAUAUUUGGUUUGAUGAAAAUAAGUAAAGAUAUAAAUGUAGUAGAUAUGGUUUGGUGAGAAUGAAUGAAGAUAUUAAUGCAAUUUAUAGUCAACAAAACAUAAUCCUAGUAAACCAAACCCUGUAGAAAUCACAUGCAACUCGUCCUUCAAUUGGAAGAGAGAGAAAACGUGAAAACCCUAGCCUUCACUAGCUCGCCCAUUCAUUGGACGAGUCAUAACCCUAGAAGAACAAGCUCACCCAUUCAUUGGACGAGGCAACACGCCACAUGACUAAGCUCGUCAUUCCAUUGGACGAGCCAACACAUUACAAGGGUUAACUCAUCCAUCAAAGGGACGAGUCUGCACGCAGGCUUUUUGGCAGUGUGAUUUCCAAUCAGCAUGGGAAUCUCGUGGUUGCAGGGAUUCCUUGCAAAAAAAAUUUGCAUGCAUUCCCUUACUUGUCCAAUCACCCUGUACAAUUCUAACCUAUCUAUUUAAUAUUUUUUACCACUAUAAAUAAACCUUUCCUCUACAAUUCUUUCUCAUCAUCUUCCUACAAUUUUUAUUUCACAAAUACUUACUCUCUUCAAAUAUUUACUCUCUACAAAUAUUCAGUAUCUUCAAUUCCAAAAUAUCUUUGUUGUGGAUGGGCGAAUCACACCAUGGGACGGCGGAAAACAUUGCCGAAUACGUAAGUCUCUUUCAAAUCUAUUUCACAAAUUCAAUAUGUAAAUAUCACAUCAAAUAUUCAUUACCAUUUUUAUUUGAAUUUCAGGAAGACGAUAAGUUCCGGGUCCAUUCGGAUACAUGCAUUCAACCAAGUGCGAUUAUAAUACCGUAUUUGGAACUAGUCGGUUUUGCAAAUGUGGCCAAGAUUGCAAGUCUAAAAGUAAAUUCUAAAUUAAUUGUUGCAUUGUUAGAGAGAUGGAGACCCGAGACACAUACCUUUCAUUUACCAACGGGUGAAUGUAUUAUCACACUAGAGGAUGUGAGUAUGUUACUCGGUCUCCGAAUCAAUGGUAAAGCUGUUGAUGGCCCAACAAACGUAACCAAUGAUGUUUACAUGGAGAAUUUGGGCAUCGAACCAACAUCUUCAGAUAACAAUGGGGCUUCUGUCAAAAUUGUUUGGUUUGAAGCCGUAUUAACACAAUUGAAAAAUAACCCUAACCCGACCGAGGCAGAAAAUAUUCUUCAUUCAAAAAUUUAUAUUUUACUUUUAAUUGCUACUUUUUUAAUGCCAGAUAAAAGUCACAAUUUGUUGCAUUCUUCUUGGUUACCUUUAGUAGGAGACCUAGAAAAAUGUAAUACAUACAGUUGGGGUUUUGCUUGUCUGGCGACACUAUAUAGACACAUGUGCAAAGCAGCCCAUAAAGGAGUCAAGAGCAUAGGAGGUUGUGUUGUAUUACUAAUUGUAUGGGCAUUCACACGUAUACCCUUGUUAGCCCCGGUUAGUAAUGAGGUUCCAUCACAUCCUUAUGCAUUAAGGUAACGAUUUUCAUUUAAAUGCAAUUUAUAUUUCUCAAAAUCAUUUAUACGUCGCUUUAAGGUAUUUUUUUUAAUUGCAAGAUGGUGCAAACGAGGUAUGAAUUACGGAAAUAAUCCUCGUCAUCAUCUACGAGGGUAUCGUGUUGCAAUAGAACACAUGGAAGAAAACGAUGUAAGAAUGAUUAAUUAUAAUAUUCAACUUAUUUAAAUUUAUUUUAUACAUUCUAAUAGUUAUAUUUCUUUUAACAGUUUAUUUGGAGGCCGUAUUGUAAGAAUGAUUAAUUAUAAUAUUCAACUUAUUUAAAUUUAUUUUAUACAUUCUAAUAGUUAUAUUUCUUUUAACAGUUUAUUUGGAGGCCGUACAUACAAUAUCCAGUACCUGAUUAUAGUGACAGCCGAGUUUGGAGUGCAACAACAUAUAUGGUAUGUUUCUUUACCGUUGAGAUGCAUCAGACAGAUCGAGUCAAACUCCAAUUUGGAUUUGAACAACAAAUACCGUCUCAGCCAAGAUGUCUAAGUGAACACCAUAACAUGACUAUGGUCCAAGCUUGGGACACACAUUGGCAAGAUUUAAACAAAGAUGAGCUAAAAGAAUGGAAAAGAAGAAGGCAUUUGGUGUUACAAGGAAACUUGGUAAUUGGUGGGUCUAAGCGGGGUAGAGAAUACAUGAAUUGGUUUUUAUCAAUUCCUUUUAUGCACAUUGCUCCAACACAGUUUUUGAAUGAUCACCGUCAACGCGUAGCUUCUUCAAUCCAACAAACAACAUCACCCCCACAACAACAUAACCAACCAUCAUCCUCAGAUCAACAAACUUACCAACACACCCAGGCCAUACAACAACGCACAAUUUAUUCCACCUCAACCCAACACCAUAAUCCCCACACUCCAUUCCCUCAAACAAACUACAAUUACAACCAACAAUAUCAACAACAAACCAACCUACGCCCACCCAUACAAUACACUCCAAUUCCUCAACCCAACUUUGAAUACUCAAACCCUCAUUCUCAACCCCAAACAUCUAACACCACAUUCGUACAACCCACUCCUACAUACAACCAUGAUGAUGUCUAUUAUCCUCCUAUCCAACACACCCAACCCAGCACCUACACACAACUCCCACAUUCACUACCCAACUAUGACCUCACUGAUGAUCAUCUAAUGAAUAUCCUUUCUUUUCGCAUUCAAGAUCUCGACAAUAUGGACAUGCCUCCAAACACAUCACAACAACAUCAAAGUCAACAACAACAUCAACAACAAGACGCCCAUGAUGAAUUAUCUUCCGACUCAUCUUCGUCUCCUGCAAGACAGACAAAAAGACUUGGGCAAGGAAAACGCAAAAAAGUUGGCACAAGAUGUGGACAGGUGAUCACUAUAAAUAAAAUGUAUUUCUUCCAUUAUAUCAAUAAAAUAAUUCUUAAUCAUUACAAUUUAUUAUAUGCCUCAUUAUAAUAUUUAUAAUUGUAUAAUAAGUAUAUAAAAAAAUAAAUCAUUUCUAUUAUUAAUAUUAAAAAAAAAUCAUUUUAUUAUUAAUAUUUUAAAAAAACAAUAUUAGAAAACUAUUAUUAUUAUAAAAAACUAUUAUUAUUAACAUAUUAUAUUAUAUAUUUUUAUAAAAAUAUUAUUAUUAUUUAAAAAAAAAUCAAUUUUAUUAUUUAAAUAUAGAAUUAAUUAGAAAACUAUUUAAUAAUAAUUUUAAUAAAAUUAUUUAAUUAUAUAAGAGUAUUUAAAAUAAAAAAAAAUAAAAAAAAUUCUUUCACUAGCUCGGCCAAUGAAUGGCCGAGCCUAAUCAGUAUAAACACGUCUUCAUCAUCUCGCCCAUUCUUUGAACGAGUCCAAAUAGAAAAGUGGGGCAUUCUUAGAGUUUUUUUUAGAUCGGGGGAAUGUGGGAAUAAAAUUUCAGGUUGCGGGUGGUCGGGCAAAUACUCCCAAACAUAAACAAAAUCAAAACCAGUUAUCCUCUGCGAUUCACAGAAGAAAACACAAAGCAAAAACCUAACAUCAAUGGCUCCGAAUUUGGAAUGUCGAAUGUACGAGGCACGGUACCCAGAAGUAGACAUGGCAGUGAUGAUACAGGUCAAGAACAUAGCCGACAUGGGUGCUUACGUUUCACUCCUCGAAUACAACAACAUCGAGGGUAUGAUUCUGUUCUCUGAACUCUCUCGCCGUCGAAUUCGUAGUGUCAGUAGUCUCAUCAAGGUGGGUAGAAUUGAACCGGUGAUGGUUCUUCGUGUUGAUAAGGAAAAGGGUUACAUCGAUCUCAGUAAACGUAGGGUUUCUGAAGAAGAUAUUCAAGCUUGUGAAGAAAGGUAUAAUAAGAGUAAACUUGUUCACUCUAUUAUGCGUCAUGUUGCUGAAACCUUGAACCUCGAUUUAGAGGUAACCCUAAUAAAACCCCUAAUUUUUUUUCUUAUAUUUUUUUGCUUGUAUUUUGAUUCUGUUGAUUGGAUAUAUAUUGGGUUUUGUAGGACCUUUAUAUUCACAUUGCUUGGCCUUUGUACCGCAAAUAUGGACAUGCCUUUGAGGUAAACAUUUUCAUCACACUCUUUCAUGGUUCCUUGAUUACAAGUGUCUGUAUAUAAGCUACUGCAUUUUGAUAGCAUAAAUUGAAAUUAAGUUAAUCUUUUUUAAUAAGCUAUCCUAGAGAGCUUAUGAAAUAAGCUAGGACAUGCCAUAAGUUUUUUCUAUAAGCUUUCCUAAGCUCUAUCAAAAUUGCUUAUAUUGGAAUAUAACCUUGAAUGAGUCUAUACAAUGAGAACUUUAUCUCAUGGACUUUGUUUGAUGCAGGCGUUCAAAAUAGUUGUGACUGAUCCUGAUACAGUUUUGAGCAGUCUUAUGCGGGAAAUUAAGGAAGUUGGUCCUGAUGGACAAGAGGUGACCAAGGUGGUACCUGCUGUUUCUGAAGAAGUGAAGGAUUCUCUAGUGAAGAACAUUAGAAGACGAAUGACUCCUCAGCCAUUGAAAAUCAGGGCGGAUAUUGAAAUGAAAUGUUUUCAGUUUGAUGGAGUUAUUCACAUUAAGGUCUUAAUCAUUUAUGUUAUGCGGUUGUUAUUUUCAUUUGAGUUAUUGGCUAUUGCUUAUCUUUUAUCGUUUUAUCAUGCUUUAUAAUUAUUUGGUUUUGCAGGAGGCAAUGCGGAAGGCUGAAGCUGCUGGAAAUGAGGACUGUCCUGUGAAAAUUAAACUUGUUGCUCCCCCACUUUAUGUGCUUACCACUCAGAUUCUUGACAAGGUUGGUGCAAUGUUCAUUUAAACUUCGGUUUCAUAAUUGCUUUUGGACUGAGUUUACUGCACAUUUGGAUUUUGAGGCUAUCAAGAUUAUGUUUAUAGAUCUAUGAAUUUUCUAGGGAUGUUUGUGUUAUUGGAUUGGAUUGUGGGGGUAUUUUCAUUGUAAAACUAGGUCAGCUGUUGUUUUUCCCUAUUAUGAUUGCCAUAAAAGCCAUUGUAAUGUUGACUACCUAAACCUUUUGUUGACUGCAAAAAGGUGAAUCAAACCGAUUCUGGUUUAUCCGGUUAUCCUGAACUGAAACAAACCAUGCGCAACUGGCUUAAAAAACAUAACCUUCUGGUUUCAACCAAAUUUUUUCUGUGUAUGAAUUUAACAUCUACUAUGAACCAAGCUGUUUCUUUGAUUCAAAAUAUAGUUUUAGAUGUUCUUGUUGAAGUUUAUGGGUUUUAAAUAAAGUAAGGAUACAUAGACUCAGGCCUAAUUAAAUAGGUUGAAUAAUGAUAUGACAUUUCAGCCUAGGGUCAUUUGGGUUCAUAGAAAAGAUUUGGGACUAUUUGCUUAAGAGUUCAAAAACUAGUUCACAAGAUUAACACCUAUGACUCCAACUAAGCUUUUAGACUCACCUUGGUUCCCAACACACUGCAAAAAGAAAAAACAACUGAACUCAUAUUUUGUCAUUUAGAACCUAGCAUAGCAGUAAUUGUAUCAGCAAGUUAUACAGUAUCAAGGAAAACUAAUGAUCUUCCUACAACUAAUUAAUGCUCUUGAGAAGAAACUCAUUGGGAUUGGGACUGCACUUUGGGAAUAAAUCCGAUUUACUACUAGUAUUCUACAUACUUAGUUCAAUCACUAGCUAGCUAUGCUAUUUGAGUUGUGGCCAACCUUGAAUGGCCAGCUUUCAUAACUCACUAUUAAAUGCUGCUGUUGAGCGUUUAUAUCAGGGAAUAGAUUAAAAAAGCUUACCCGACGGAAUGAUGAAGUCGUUUGGGUCAAGAACAAAUUUUUUGCAAGCAAGUGAAAGCAGAGUGAAGCAUCCAUUCAUAGGUUCUAGAUGAAUAGUGAGAAGUGCAAAUGAGUGCACAGACGGAUUCAGUUGGAGAUAUUAACUGUAGUCAUUAGCAUUUCAGUUUAGUGAAAUGUGCAUACAUAAAUCCAGUUCGGCUAGUGAGCUGUUUCAAAAGUUCAGUUUUUAAAGGAUAGGUUCGGUUCAUUUCCUGAUUCACUGCAGUUCUAAAUAGUUUGUUUUAACAGUCCUAAAAAAAUUCGCUCCUAAACAUGUAUUGUAAAAUUUUCUUAAUGUUACUUCUCCUUGUUUAAGCAAUUCAUAGCUUGUUACAAUCUUGACAGGAUCAAGGAACAUUGGUUCUCAACAAUGCCAUUACCUGCUGCACUGAAUCAAUAGAAAAACACAAAGCGGUGAGUGUCACAUUCUCUCUAUAUCCUUUAUCUUUUUUAUUUUUUGAAUGGUGGGAACGAGGAUUGACAUUGCAUUGUGAUUUAGGUGAGUGAACGCGAUGAUAAACUGCUUGCUGAGCAUAUGGCUAAGCUACGCCAAGACAACAAAGAGGUCAGUGGCGAUGAAGACAGUGAAGAGGAAGAAGAUACUGGAAUGGGUGCGGUUGAUGUGGACAAUGGUAAGGCUUUACUAAUUUUGUUCUAUAGUAUUCUUUUUGAUCUCUUUGAUUGUGGUUGUAUUAUACAAACUCAGAAUUUCUCGAAGAGGGCGUUCAAUCCAAACUUAGGAGUGUAUGUGGUUCAAAACGCCACCAUAACUCCCUCCCUUGUUGCUUGCAAUUUAUGAUGAGAUAUUAGUUGAACACAGUGCAUUAAUUUACUAGAGUGCCAAUGCGUAUACCUUAUGACUAAGUUGUGAUCUAUUAAAUCGGUGAGGUUCUCAUAUCGAUACCAUUUCCAUGUGUAAAGGUUGCCAUCAAACUUGGAAAAUGUUCUAGCAAUCUCACUGUUAUCUACUGUCUCAGUAUUACCGUCCAAAAAAUCGUCAUUUUAUACUUUUGGAAAGAAGGAAAAAAAAAACAUUUUCAUGCGUUCGAGUAUAAUACAUUUGUUUGGGUGAUUUAUAUGAAAUGUAGUUUUUUCUUACAGCCAUGUGAAAUGGAAUUAAGGUAUCAAUUUAAUGACACUUUUAUAAGAUGUAAAAAUGUAUUUAAUAAUUAAAAUUCGCAUCUUACAUUGAGAUAGGUAACACCUAAAGUUCUUAUGACUUCAAUUUUUGGAAAGAUAAUUGUCUUGAAAAAAGAUUAUUACCAAUCUACUAAAGAUUAUCACCAAGUUUUAUUUUAGAUUUUCAAAGUAUUUAUAAAGAUGAAGAAGGGAUGCAUUAGCCUAAAACAUAUUUUUACUUGGCUAAAAGUUUUUUUUAUUAAUCUAAAGUAAAAUUUAAAUAUUAUAUUUGAUUAUAUUAAUCAAUAAAUCAAAUUUUUGUUAUUAAUCAAUAAAUCAUAUUUUUAAUUAUUAUUUUAUCUUGAGUAUGAUACAAUAGCCAGUUUUUGUAAAAAAAUGGUUGUUAAAAAGUCUUUUUAUUUUAUAAAAAUAUUUAAAGAUGACCAACUUUGUAAAUAAUAAAUGUUUUCCUCUUAAAAAUAAUAUAUAAAAGAUUAUAAAAUAAAAUAAAAUAAUAAUAAUAAAGCAUUUAUGUAAAAAAAAACUUUAUAAUUAGUGGAUCAAAAUCAAAUAGAUUGAAUUGAAUUAGUUAAGAAUUAUAUUUUGCGGCAAUUGAAUAAAUUGUGAAUAAGUGGAUGAAAUUGGUAGUAGUAAAUAUAUUAUAGAAGUGCAGAAAAGUUAAGAUCUACAUAAUAUAUGAAAUAUAUUAGAGUAUAUUUUUGGUGGCUAUGGCUCCUUAUGAGAGUAUUUUCCAACAUAGUGGCAGCCAUGCAUAAUAGUUUAAUCUAAUGUAUUUGUGUUACCUUGAACAAUUCCCAUUACUGUAACCUUCUGCCUUUUCUAACUAACACAAACUCACUGAGAUCCUAAGAUUUUCAAUCCUUUAAUCAAAUCAAGAAUGUCAAAUUUAGUUGAAUCUCUCCUCAAAGAAAGAAAGUAUCCAUUCAUUUUCACCUUCUCUGCCUUACUUAUUUGGUUCAUGAUCCUCCUCUACGCCAACACCACCACCUUCACAACCUCUGAUCCAAAAGCCUUCUACCCUGAUGUCAAAGUGCAGCAACCACUCGACCAACAUCAAUUUAGAAUUAACGUUUAAGAUGUGACCCAAACAUAUUUAAAAUAAGAAAUAGACUAAUUGAGUAUUUUUAUUUGGUUUGAUAUGAAAAUUUAUUUUAUUUCGGAAAUUUCUCCACAAUAUGGAUAUUCAAUUUAAACUAUUUUGACACAAAUCCGGUUUUAUAAAUAUGGGUAUGAAUUUUAGACCCAUAUCCGAUCCUAGAAUAGGAAGGUCGACUGGACUCGAUCCUACCCUAGAAUAGGAAGGUCGACUCGACCCGACCCGACCCAUGAAAAGAAAAUCGGUUAUUAACGAAAUGAUGUCCCCGUUAAGUUAACUUUUUUUUUUCUGCCGGUUUCCACUUGAGUGAGAAAACGAGGAACCAUUACAUGAGAGUCUAAUUACUUUUUCGGUUUUGCAGAUACAAAUUUCAAGCGUGUAGGGAAAAUGAAAAUCGCGAAAACGGCGAUUCUUGUUCUACUAAUAUCGUUCCUUUCAGUUUUGCACUUCUCAAACGCUGAAGAAGAAGCUUUUGAUGUUCGCAAACAUCUCUCUACUGUAUCCAGGUUUUUCUCUUUCAUUCCCCUAAUCAUAAUCAACCAAAAUCCUUCGUUUUUCCUUUAUUCUGCUUCCUCAUUUUUGUUGCCUUUGAUUUUGACGAGACUUCUAUAUGCAUUUGUGAUUGCGUGUGUGCUUGAUCAAUUUUUUGAAACUUAAUUGAGAUUGAUGAAAUUGCGCGUGUUAAUUUUCUGCUUAGGUACGGAGUUGUGAAAGACAUUACUGACAAGAACUUCAUUCCUUCUAAAAUUCCUGAAGGAUGCACUCCAAUACAUUUAAAUCUAGUGGUAAUUUUCUUACCAGUUUAGGGUUUAAUUAUUUCAUUAGUUAUGAAUGAUGUUCUACUUUUACCACACAUUUACGCUUGUUUUUGUAAUUUUCACAUAAAUUCCGUAUAUUUUAUAUUUCUAUGCAGCGUGUUCAAGAGUAUGAUAAUUGAUAAUGCUAUGUUACAUUGCCAGGCAAGGCAUGGGACCCGUUCUCCUACAAAGAAAAGAAUAAAGCAGUUGGACAAUUUGUCAGCCCAUUUGGAAGUUCUUAUAAAGGAUGCAAAAGAGAAACAUUUGUCUUUGGAGAGAAUUCCUACUUGGUUGAAUGGAUGGAAAUCUCCUUGGCAAGGAAAGCUUAAGGGCGGUGAGUUAAUUAGAAGAGGAGAGGAAGAAUUAUAUGCUCUUGGAAUCAGGGUUAGAGAUAGGUUUCCAAGUUUGUUUGAUGAGGAUUACCAUCCAGACAUAUAUCCUAUAAAGGCAACUCAGGUGAGUUCAUCUUCAUUUUUAUCUUUAGGUAGAUUUGUUCUUUUGAAGUUUCUGGUAAUCUCAACGUACGAUAGUGUCACUAAUAGUUUUGGGAGAGUUAGAACACAUUGUUUUGAAUUAAUAAAUGAAUGCUAAUACAUCAUGAUUAGUUGUAGUGCCACUGUAACACUGAGAGUCUAAGACAUGAAUUUUCCUUUUGAUAUUUCAAAAACUUAGAGAUAGGUUUCCAAGUUUGUUUGAUGAGGAUUACCAUCCAGACAUAUAUUCUAUAAAGGCAACUCAGGUGAGUUCAUCUUCAUUUUUAUCUUUAGGUAGAUUUGUUCUUUUGAAGUUUCUGGUAAUCUCAACGUACGUUAGUGUCACUAAUAGUUUUGGGAGAGUUAGAACACAUUGUUUUGAAUUAAUAAAUGAAUGCUAAUACAUCAUGAUUAGUUGCAGUGCCACUGCAACACUGAGAGUCUAAGACAUGAAUUUUCCUUUUUGAUAUUCAAAAACUUAUGCAUCUCUCUUAUGUGUGCAAAAUAGAUUCCCCGAGCAUCAGCUAGUGCUGUCGCAUUUGGAAUGGGUUUUUCAGUGGCAAUGGAACUCUUGGACCUGGGGAGCACAGAGCCUUUUCUGUUAUAAGUGAAAACCGUGCUAGUGACACCAUGCUGAGAUUUCAUGAAUGUUGUCCAAAACUACAAGGUAAUGCUGUAGCAAUUAUUAAUUUCUCAGUAGGAUUUCUAAUGCAAAAGUUUCAUGUUAUCUGACACAAUUACAUACAGUAAUCUGAUUAUAGAUUAGCCAAUUUCAUGCAUUUAAUGUAUUUAAUUAUGCUUUCUAUGCAUUAUUGUUAUAUACAGUCACCCAAGCUGCAUUGCACUUUUUCUGCUGGGCGUAUAUUUUAGACCAUUUUUGAUGGCCAAUCAGGAAAAUCAUGUUUUUGUGUUCCUUUCAGCGAUAAAUUUGCUUAUAUUUUUCUGUUAUGUGCUUUCUGCUUACAGUUUUGUCCCGUUACACCGUUCCUACGGAGAUUAACAAAUUUAGUUGAAAUCACUAUAUUUGUCUAAUGUAGGCCUUCAUAUGUUGAAUAUGAAAGCAAUUUUGUGUUUAAAGAGGCUAUACUUAAAAUAUUCAUACAUAUGUUAUCUCUGUUUAUCUAAAUUGUAUAUUUUGUGAUCUUCGGUAGUCUUAAAGGUAUUGAAUGUUUUGUAACAAAAAAAGUAGUCUCUAGUUUUUUUCCUGACUUUUUUUUUAUGGUUAUAUGAUUUUUUUUUUAUGAGAGCAGGAUUUCAGGAAAAGGCAGGAGCCCGCAGUUGAUAAACUUAAGGAACCUACCUUGGAUGAGAUUACAUCUGCAUUAGUUGGGCGUUAUGGACUGAAUUUUACAAGGCAGGUUACAGCAUCUCUUUGGUUCUUAUGUAAAGAGGUGACACCAUUUCUUUAUUCCCAACUUCUUCUGAUUUUCCCUAUGUUUUUCUUUUAAGUUCAGACAUAAUCAUUUACUUGUGUCUUGGAUGUUAGUUAUUUUUGUUUUUCUGUUUCCAAUUGUUCGUUUUGUGGUUAUUUUGGCAGGAAGCAUCCUUGUUGGAUAUAACUGAUCAAGCUUGUAGUCUUUUCAGCCCAUCUGAGGUACUUUGUACUUUUAUGGUCAAGAUGUUGUGAUUUGAUAUUUGAUCUAACCUUUGACUUUUUCCUUUUUAUUUGCUUGGAAAUAUUUAAAUAUAGUAAAAGUUAAAAGAUGUCAGACCAUCAUUUAAUUUUGACGUUAUGAUAUACAAGAACCAAGUUUUGACUCCUUGAUAUGAUAUUUCUAUAAUAUGUCAAUUGACCUCAAAGAAACUGAAUAUGACGUUUUUCAUGCUGUGAAUGCCAAGGAAGUUACUAUUGAUGAGUGUAUUCAAAAAACUCGUUUAGCUCCCGCACAUAUAAUCAAGAUCUGUGGCUGAGUUUUUCUCCAAUACAAUUGCAUGUAUGCUUAUAAAAUGUUAAAUUUUGUGUAUAUAGAUUACAUUGCUGGAGUGGACAGAUGACUUAGAAAUGUACAUUCUGAAGGGUUAUGGUAAAUCAAUAAAUUAUAGAAUGGGGAUGCCAUUACUUGAAGAUGUUGUUCAAUCCAUGGAGCAAGCUAUCAUGGCUAAAGAAGGUAGUUUAGCAUUUUUAGUAUUGAGGUUCUUGCAUGUCAUAUCAUUUUCUUAGAAUUUGGAUUGGGCCUAACUCAAUCUUACAUAACCGAUUUGUAAGAUGAAGAUUGGUCUCACUUAUAAACAGAUUUCCAAGUCAUAUCCCAUCCGAUGUGUGAUUCUUUAACACACACCCUCACACCCAGUACUAUUGAACUUGGUGCGUACAUAUAAAUGGUGGGUAGUGGAAACCUGAUAGCAGGUGUCCCAACGGAUCUCAGAGUCUCUGAUACCAUUUUCAUAAUUGCACCGUGCCUCUUUUCUGCUCCAUGCUCCUCCUCCUCCUUCCCACGACCUCAAGUUUGUUUGCAAAAGGCCAACCGGGAAGCAAUAACCCUACCACAAUCAUCUCUAUACUAUUGUGUUUUUCUUCAUUCACCAAGCCACCGAAAGCUUUUCUGGACUCUCUUUCUCCGCAGUACCAUGGCUCUCGCUACCGAGGGCGCAACGAAUUCUGUGGAGGCGUGGCCUUUAGCUUUCUGAUGGAUAAAGAUAAUUAAGAGAUGUCGCGUUAGAGUAACCGAUGUCGUUCUGGUAGAUAAUCUUGGUCGUGUUCCAUACCUGGUGGAUUAUAUGAUCCUGCUUUUGGUCCUCUUGUGGAUAGGUUUCCUUGUAAAACCUGUGGUCUUGCCCAAAGAUCACUACUCAGGUCAUUUUGGUCAUAUCGAGCUUGUUGCACCUGUCUACAACCCUUUGAUAUUCACAUUUCUUGGCAAUAUUAUAAAGAAAACAUGUUUCUCUUGCCAUCAUUUUAAGGCCUAGUAGAAACGAGGUGGGAGAGCUUGUGUCCUAAUUGAAGUUAAUUAUGGAUGGGAAUGUUAGCAAGGCCAAAAGUUUGGAUGAAAUUGAAUUAGAUGGACCUCUAGAUUCAGGCGAUGGUGAUGUUGAUGAUGAAAACCAAUGUAGUAGAAUCGAGCAACCGGUAGAAAAUUGGACAUCCCUUCAAUUUUCCGAGGCAAUGUCCGUUCUAAGAACAUUUCUACAUAAGGAUUACAGGAAGUGUCAAAAUUGUGGAAACGUCAGUCCUAAAAUUACUAAUCCAAAGUUUCACGUGAAAGCUCUCUCAGCUUCUCAAGCUAGAGCAAAUGCAGCGAUGCAUCCUUGACAAGUGAAAUAAUUAAUGAUGAAAUAUCUUUAGGAAGUGUGGAUAAUGAAAGUCGAAUAUUGUCUAAUAAGUUUGUUGGACUUUCCGUCUUAAUUGCGGUCCACCCCUAGUCGCCUUAACUGCGGCACUUUGGCUUGCCUCAUUGCAGCCCCUAACACCUUCGUUGUGUUAACUCUGAAGGGGUGAAUUUAGUCCCACAUUACCAAGAGAUAUAUGGUCUGUGUUGUGUUUAUAAGUGGGGGCAAUCCUCAUCUUACAAGUCAGUUUUUUAGGGAUGAGUUAGGCCCAACCCAAAUUCUGAGAUGGUAUUAGAGCCUAUCCUAGAUCCACUGUUGGGCUUCCCGCAUCGUCCACGCUUCAGGCUCAUUGAAGCCCAAGCGAGAGGGGGUGUGUUGGACUUUCCGCCUUAAUUACGGUCCUCCCCUAGUCGUCUUAAUUGUGGCAUUUUGGCUUGCCUCAUUGCAUCCCCUAACACCUUCAUUGUGUUAGCUUUGAAGGGGUGGAUUUAGUACCACAUUGCUAAGAGAUAUGGUAUGUGUUGUGUUUAUAAGUGGGGGGAAUCCUCACCUUACAAGUCGAUUUUGUAGGGAUGAGUUGGACCCAUCCCAAAUUCUGAGAAAGUUUAUUGAGCAAACUUCACUUUUUGGGUCUUUGCUACCCUCCCUAUUUAGGGAAUUCUAGAGCUUUUGUGGAAAAGUGAAGCUAAGCUGUGCUCGUAUAUCAGUGACCUUCAAAAUCAAGGUUUUGGAAAGAAAGUCGGUCACUCGAUGUUCUUUUUGGAAAACAUUUUCGUUGCACCAAUCAAAUUUUGCCCCACAAUGAAAGCAGGUGAUAAUUCGACAGAUCAUCCUCAAACUGUUAUGUUGAGUAAGGUUUUAGAGUCCAACAUAUCCUUGGGACAAGCCCAUCUAAACACGUCAGAUGCAUCAAUCAUCUUUGUUGAAAUACAAGAGACUAAGACAUUUGAAUAAACCGUGUGUUUUGAAAAGCACUACGGAGACUUUAUUAUAUAUAGAGAGAUUAUAACUAAUUACAUGAUAUAGUCGAUGUGAGAUUAUUCGAUAUACAAAUAUUCUUAAUACUAUAUUUACAAAUAUCAAUACUCCCCCUCAAGUUUGAGCAUAUAAGUCAAACGCACCAAGCUUGUUACAUAUAUAAUUAGUUUUGGGACUUCGUAGAGAUUUUGUAAACACGUCUGCCAAUUGAUCAUUAGAGUUGACAAAGUUUGUGACGAUGUCACCUGAUUCAAUUUUCUCUCUGAUAAAGUGACAGUCUAUCUCAAUAUGUUUGGUCCUCUCAUGGAAGACUGGAUUUGAAGCAAUGUGCAAUGCGGCUUGAUUAUCACAAAUAAGUGUCAUUGGUCUUGCUUCUUCAAUUUGAAGUUCCUUGAGCAACUGUUUUAACCAAAUAAGUUCACAUGUUGCCAUUGCCAUGGCCCUAUACUCUGCCUCGGCGCUUGAUCUUGCAACUACGUUUUGUUUCUUACUUUUCCAGGAUAUAAGGUUGCCUCCAACAAGUACACAAUACCUAGAGGUGGAUCGUCUAUCAAUGGGUGACCCUGCCCAAUCAGCAUCGGAGUAUCCAACUAUCUGAGUAUGUCCUUUAUUUUCAUACACUAGACCUUUUCCUGGAGCACAUUUGAUGUAUCUCAGAAUCCGGAUAACAUCAUCCAUGUGUUCCUGACAAGGGGAGUUUAAGAACUGACUUACGACACUAAUUGCAAAAGAAAUGUCCGGACGAGUGACUGUGAGAUAAUUCAACUUUCCAAUCAAUCUUCUAUACCUUCCUGAGUCAGAUAAAGGCUCCCCCUGAUUGGGUAGUAGUUUGACACUUGGAUCCAUAGGAGUAUCAGCUGGUUUAACAUUCAACAAACCAUCUUUAGAUUGAGCUACCUCAAUACCCAAGAAAUAACGAAGUUUACCAAGAUCUUUUGUCUGAAAUUGAUUCGAGAGAUGUUGCUUUAACUGGAAUAUACCCUGUUGAUCACUACCAGUUAUGACAAUAUCAUCUACGUACACAAUAAGAUAAAUACACCCUUGGGCUGAGUGACGAUAAAAAACAGAAUGAUUAGCUUCACUACGGAUCAUACCAAACUGUUGUACUACAGUGCUGAAUCUGCCGAACCAAGCUCUCGGAGAUUGCUUAAGACCAUAAAGAGACCUGUGUAACCUACACACCAUAUUCGAUGACUCCCCCUAAGCAACAAAUCCAGGUGGUUGUUCCAUAUAUACUUCCUCUUCAAGAUCACCAUGUAAAAAAGCAUUUUUGAUGUCAAGUUGAUGAAGAGGCCAAUGUCGAAUGGCUGCAAUGGCUAGAAGAAGUCUAACAGAUGUCAUCUUGGCUACAGGCGAGAAGAUAUCAUUAUAAUCCAAUCCAAAAAUCUGAGUGUAUCCUUUGGCUACCAAACGAGCUUUAAAUUGAUCAAUUUUACCAUCUGGACCAACCUUCACUGUAUAAAGCCAACGACAACCUACUAAAGAUUUCCCAUGGGGUAGAGGAACCAGUUCCCAGGUACCAUAGCUUUGAAGAGCACACAUUUCAUCAAUCAUUGCUUGCCUCCACUCAGGGUGAGAUAAUGCUUCACCUGGAGUUUUAGGAAUAGAAACAGAAGACAAAGAAGACAAACAAGUAUACUGCAAAGGGGAAUGCACACAUUUCAUCAAUCAUUGCUUGCCUCCACUCAGGGUGAGAUAAUGCUUCACCUGGAGUUUUAGGAAUAGAAACAGAAGACAAAGAAGACAAACAAGUAUACUGCAAAGGGGAAAGACGAUGAUCGGAAGAUCGGACUCAGGUUGCAGGAUCAGAUCUGGUGAUGACGGAGGCGUCGGAGGAGAGUUUUCAAUGACCUCAGGGACAGGUAUGACUUCAGGGACAAGGACGACAAGCGUUGGGUAGCGUUGGGUGACGACGCUGAUAUGUUUGAAGUGGUCGAGAAGUGGGUGGGUCAGGAGCCCUAGACUGAUGGGGGAUAAUGAUAGACGGGACAUUAAUAACUGUCGGAAAAGGUGUGGGAGUACUUUCUUGAAUGGGUUAUGGAGUUACGUGACUGGAUUCGAAAUAUGGAACCGACUCGAAGAAGGUAACAUCGGCCGAUACUAGGUAUCGUUGUAAAGUAUGUGAAUAACAACAAUAACCUUUUUGGGAUCGAUGAUAACCAAGAAAAACACACUUUAGUGAUCGAGCUGAGAGUUUAUCAAGACCAGGAGAGAGAUUGUGUACAAAACAUGUGGACCCGAAGACUUGAGGAGGAAUGGGGUGAAGUGGGGAAUUGGGAAAAAGGAUUGAAUGAGGGAUUUUAUUAUUAAGGACAGAUGAGGGCAUGCGAUUUAUAAGGUAACAUGCCGUUAGCACAGCAUCCCCCCAAAACCGAAGUGGAACAUUACUAUGGAGAAGUAGGGUCCGAGUGGUUUCUACAAGAUGCCGAUUUUUGCGUUCGACUACCCCGUUUUGUUGAGGUGUGUGAGGGCAAGAUGUUUGAUGGAGAAUACCAUUGCGUGACAUAAAAUUCUGAAAUUGUUGGGAUAAAUAUUCACGAGCAUUGUCACUUCUUAAGGUACGGAUAGACACACCGAAUUGAGUUCUUAUUUCUUGAUAGAAUUGUUCAAAAAUAGAAAAUAAUUCAGACUUAUUCUUCAUUAAAAAUAACCACGUGCAACGUGAAAUGGAUAGUGAGUGGAGAAUCUUUGGCUGAGCAUGUCUGAGAUGACACUGAGAGGUAAUAAAGGCCUUGAGACUCACAUCCGACACCAAUCGUCCGUCCCGAACUCCGAUCCUGCAGGGUAACAUUAUUGAGUGAAGGUGACACUACAAUCAAGAGAACGAGUUAAACGACUGACUGAAAGUAAAUUAAAUGGACAAUUAGGUACAUAGAGGACAUAAUUAACCGAGAGAGAAGGUAGAAUUUGAACAGCACCAAUCCCUUCAGAUCGGGUUUGAGAACCAUUGGCAGAAGUUAUAGUAGGUAAGAAACCGGAUGUAGAGAGGGAAGAGAAAAGAUUUUUAUUAUCGGUAACAUGAUCAGACGCACCAGAAUCAAGGAUCCAAGAUGAUUGAGAAAGACAAGCAGAUGAGUUACCGGUGUGUGCUAUCGAAGCAGUAGAAUCCAAGUUCUGAUAAUUCUGAUACCACCUGAGGAAAUUAUCGUAGUUUGGCGUAAAGUUAUGAGGAGUAGCCAUGAGUAUCGGAUCUGAAACAAUUGCCCUAUGGAGAGUGGAGCGGUGGGAAAAUUGUCGGGAUCGAUCGUCGGAGGUGCUGUCAUGUGCAGAGGUUUCUGCCGAUGAAAAGUGGGGAGCGGCUGGAUCGGAAGAGGCGCUUUUGCUGGUAGGUUACCGGAGAAUUUUGAAAAGUGAGAGGCAAACCGGAGUGAUGACACGGUUUGCAAAAAAAAAGAAUUCACCGGAAGACAGUGGGUCAACCGGAUAAAGCACGGCGAAGAAAGAAUUGCCUCUUAGCAGGCUCUAGAUACCAUGUUGAAAUACAAGAGACUACGAGACAUACAUUUGAAUAAACCGUGUUUUGAAAAACACUACGGAGACUUUAUUAUAUAUAGAGAGAUUAUAACUAAUUACAUGAUAUAGUCGAUGUGGGACUAUUCGAUAUACAAAUAUUCUUAAUACUAUAUUUACAAAUAUCAACAAUCUUAGACGGUGGAUGGAUCUUCAAAGAUCUGUAAACCUCUUAUUUGACAACACAUCUGCUUCCAAAAGCCAAAAAGCCGUGAUUACUGGAAUAUGUCAAUUGCUGGAAAAGAAGGAAGGCAUCUUUCGCCAGAAAAUGAUGAGAAAGAGGGUUAAUUUUGCAUGCCGCUCUGUCAUAUCACCAGAUCCUUAUUUAGCAGUCAAUGAAAUUGGGAUUCCCCCAUAUUUUGCUCUAAGGUUAAUAUAUCCUGAGAGUUACUCCUUGGAAUGUAGUCAAGUUACUCUAUGCUGAUAAAACAUCAACACUCAUGCUUCCACUAGAGAGGAGGUUACGUUCUUUUACAUCAAGGAAAUUACAAUCGUCAAGAGGGGAGAUACGUCACCAUGAAUUUGAAGGAAAAGUUGUGCAUCGUCACUAGAAGGAUGGCGAUGUAGUGCUUGUCAAUCUACAGCCAACACUUCAUAAGCCUAAUAUAAUGCUACAUGCAGUCCGUGUUCUAAAGGGGGAGAAAACAAUUUGCAUGCAUUAUGCAAACUGCAGUACAUACAAUGCCGAUUUUGAUGGUGAUGAGAUUAAUGUUAAUUUUCCACAUGAAGAAAUUUCAGGCGCUGAAGCUUACAUCUUGUAAAUGCCAACAACCAAUAUGUGAAGCCUACAAGUGGUGAUCCAAUCAGAGCCUUGAUUCAGGAUCAUAUUGUAAGUGCUGAUCUUCUCACAAAAAAAAAGAUACCUUUUUGAGCUGUGACGAGUUCAAUCAACUUCUCUACAGUUCUGGUGUAUCCAUGACUGCGUCAGGCUUUGUCACUUGUAAACCAGGUCAGAAAAUAUUCAUGUCAAACUCCGAGAGUGAAAUGUUUCAGUUUCCUCCACCAAUAUUCAAGCCAGAGCCACUGUGGACAGGGAAACAGGUUAUCAAUCAUUGCUAUGCUAUAGCACUAAAGGUUGCCCACCAUUUACUGUUGAGAAGAAUGCGAAAAUCUCAAUCUAGUUUUUUUAAGACUCAAAUGAGGAGGGAAAAAACACACUAAAGAUACCUCAAGAAAAAGGGAUAAGAAUGAGGAUAAAUUGUUGAUAUAUAAAAGUGAUUUGGUGCGUGGUGUAGUUGACAAGGCUCAAUUUGGUGAGUAUGGAAUGGUGCAUACAGUGCAAGAGUUUUAUGGCUCAAAUACUGCUGGCAUUCUUCUGUCAGCAUUAAGUUGGCUAUUCACCAACUUUUUACAGAUGCACGGGUUCACAUGUGGGGUUGAUGAUCUUCUGAUAACAGAAGGAAAGGAUAGUGAAAGAAUAAAUCAACUUGGUGACAUUGUGACAUUGUUCAUCGUGAAUUCAUUGGAGUCAUGGAAAGUGAUAAUAUUGAUCCAAUCACAACGCGGUUGAAUGUUGAGAAAAAAAUACGCAGUAAUGGAGAAGCAGCCUUAACAUACUUAAAUAGGAAGAUGAUAAGUAAUCUUAACUCCAGAACUAGCUCAGUAAUGGAUUUCUCUUAUGACUACAUCUGGAGCUAAGGGAAGUAUGGUCAACUUCUAGCAUAUAUCUUCUCAUCUUGGCCAGCAAGAGUUGGAAGGAAAACGAGUCCCACGUAUGGUUUCUGGCAAGACCUUACUGUGCUUUCUAUCAUGGGAUUGUUCCCCCAGGGCAGGAGGGUUAAUUAUUGAUCGGUUUCUUACUGCUCUUCAUCCACAGGAAUAUUACUUUCAUUGUAUGGCUGGUCGAGAAGGAACAAAGAAUUGGUUUACAGCAACUGUUGCCGUCAGCUAGGUAGAUCCAGUCCUUAUAUUAACAAGUUGCCUGAUGCUCUUAAAGGAAAAGCAGAAAACUUCAUUCGUGAUUUCUCUUCAAAACAGAGAAAUUUCAGUUCAUUGAAACAUGAAGAUUUUCUACAAUUGAUGGAGCACAAGUACGUCUCAAGUCUUGCUCAACCAGGUGAACCAGUUGGUGUGUUAGCUUCUCAGUCUGGAAGAACCAGCAACACAAAUGACUUUGAAUACUUUCUAUCUUGCUAGUCGAGGUGAAAUGAAUGUGAUUCUUGGAAUUCCUCGUUUGCACGAAAUUGUGGUGGCAGCCUUAGAUAGCAUCAAGUCUCCCUUUACGUCAUGCCCCCUGAGAUCCAAUAAAUUAUGGAAAAUGCUAUCUGCCUUGCAGACAAAAUGAAAAAGAUAACUAUAGCUGACAUAACCUAUGAAGCACGGAUUCCGACACGGACACCGGGACACGACACGGACACCGUUAAUGUCCAAACAUAGGACACUGACACCGCUAUAUAUAAGAGAGUAUUUCAGAUUUAUUUAGCCAUCUAUGAUAAAAAAGUUGAAAAUAUUCUAAUUAAAAUUAAAAUUUUUAAUUCUUUAUUGAUAACAUUGCUUAAAUACGCGUUUAACAAAUUUAAAUUUGUAUGAGAUUUGUCCAAAAUAUGUAUAAACGUGUGUUGAAGCAAAGAAAAAAACAAAUUUUUGUUUGAAACAUUUGUCUGAAUUGUGUGACAUGUGUUAUGAGUGUCAUACGAGUGUCAACCAUUGAUUUAAAGAGUGUUGAAACAAAGAAAAAACUCAUUUUUUAGUGGACACUUGUCUGACUUUCUGACACUUCUUUGACUUUUUCGACAUGUGUCGUACGGGUGCCAUACAAGUGUCGGACACUGUGACACGCCUACUCGUAGAGGUGUCCGUGCUUCAAAGGACAUAACUUAAAAUAUGAAAGUUUCUGUUGUACCCAAUGCCAUAAAAGACCAACACAUUUGCAGUAUAUAUAAGCUUACGAUGAAACUGCAUAAACCUAAACACUAUCCAAAAUACACUGAUAUUACACUUGAAGACCGGGAGGAAACUCUAAGAGUUAGCUUUGUGAGGGAAUUGGAGGAUGCGAUUGAAAGUUACAUUAAAAUAUUUCCAAGGCAAAAGUGGUCUAGAAAAUGAUCAUAGCAAUGAUUCAGAAUCUAACAAAAAUGGUCAAACUGACGAUGACGGUGAUGGUGAUACUGAUGCUACAGAGGAUGCUACAGAGGAUGCUGAUGAUCUUGGUUAAAAGAGUAAACAGCAAGCUAUGGAUGAGGUUGAUUACGAUGAUGGUCUUGAAGAGGAAACAUGCGAGAUGGUAUUAGAGCCUAUCCUAGAUCCGUUGUUGGGCUUUUCACAUCGUCCACGCUUCGGGCUCAUUGAGGCCCAAGCGUGAGGGUGUGUUGGAAUUUCUGCCUUCAUUGUGGUCUGCCCCUAGUCGCCUUAAUUGCGGCAUUUGUCUUGCCUUAAUUGCAGCCUCCAACAUCUUCAUUGUGUUGGAUUUGAAGGGGUGAAUUUAGUCCCACAUUAUUUAGAGAUAUGGUCAGUGUUGUGUUUAUAAGGGGGGACAAUCCUCACCUUACGAGCCGGUUUUGUAGGGAUGAGUUAGGUCCAACCAAAUUCUGAGAAGAAUAAAGAGAGGUAAAGGAGAAUCCUGGUUCAGAGAGGAUGUAGAAGGAGAAGAGGAAGAGAGGAGGGGGAGAGGAAUCCAAGAAGGUUUUACACAUUUUUUUUAAGAAUCGAGUCCCUGGGCACUCUUCUCACACCGACUGAUAGAAUUUACUUUCCUGCCUUCCCUUGCUGGUUUAGCUCCAUAUGUUAAUCAUUUGUUUUGCUGAACCAUUUAUCCUUUGUCACUAUUGGUAUGUAACAUUUUGUCAAUGUUAUGGGUUGAAAUCCUAGUUAAUUCAGAAUUAGUAAGUAGAGUUAGUAUUACUUCACUAUUGAUUGUUUUUCCUUUUGGAGGCUGUAUCUUGAAUAAGGGGCAUUGUGAACCAUUCUCUCAUUUCAACUUUCUUUAUUGCUUCUGUAGAAAAACAUGUGCCUGGCAGCUUUGAAAAAGCAAGACUUCGGUUUGCACAUGCUGAAACUGUAGUCCCAUUCUCAUGUCUGCUUGGUUUAUUUCUUGAAGGGUCUGGUAAGGCUUUUAUAGUAUAUUCGUGAAUAAAUUUUUAUCAAUUUCUAUUUUGGUUUCAUUGCAAAGUAGUGGUAGAGUAUGUUUAUGAUUAUAAUUAUUCUCUUUCAACAGAGUUUGACACAAUCCAGAAGGAGAUACCUUUGGCAUUUCCUCCAAAGCCUCCACAGAAAAGAAAAUGGAGGGGUAGCAUUGUGGCUCCUUUUGCUGGUAACAACAUGCUGGUCCUGUAUAGAUGUCCUGCGCCAGACAAAGCUAGAAGCAAGCACUUUGUGCAAGUGCUGCACAAUGAACACCCCAUUCCAAUGCCGGUAAGCUUUUGGUUUCUUAUGAAGUCUAUGAAUGUGGUUCAGAGGUUGUUGAGUUUUACUCUUGAUUGUUUAAACCUGUAUUAUGUCGUUGUGCAUCAAUAACACAAUUUUGUGGUGCUAUUGUGGCUACAGGGUUGUAAUGGUUCUGAUUUCUGUCCAUUUGAAGUAUUCAAGGUGACACUAUGAUCCCACUCUAUUACACAAAAUGAUCAGUGUGCAAGAUUAAUUUGGUAACAUUUUUUUAAUCUACCACUAAUUUUAUUACCGAUUUUUCAUCACAGGAAAAAAUAGUUGCUCCUCAUCGGAAGCAUGACUACGAUACAGUCUGUAAUGCAAAGCUAGAGCAGAAGCCCUCGGGCAGCAAGAUAUUCCAAAUACUUCAGUGGUUUUUUCAACUAGGGAAAGGUGACAAGUACCCCAAAGAUGAAUUUUAGUUUGUUUUCUGGAAAGGAGUCUGAGAUCAAUUCUCAAGUCCUUUUUUGGCAGUACCACUAAACAAAUUUCAGGCAAAGCACGAUUUCCUUCUAGCAGAGUACAUCGAUUUGAAUGCCUAUGCAAGAAUGCCUUUGGUAUCUUAAGUUUGGUGUUCAAGCCACCCCGUAGCCUUUGGUAUCUUAAGUUUGGUGUUCAAGCCACCCCGUUCUGUAGCUUUUAACCCCGGAGAGUUUUGGAUAUGGAAUGAAGAGUUCUAGAUAUUAGUUUCAUUUUCUCCGCGAGAGUCUUAAUCUCAGCACUUUACACAUGUGAUGUAGGUUAAUGUUUCAUGUUUCACACUUUUGCCAUUUCAGUUUUUUUUCUUUCCCUUUUGGUAUAGUGGAUAUUAAUUAAAGUGGCGAUCUUCUGAUUUCUUGUAAUGAUCCAACUUUUGUUUGUUUGUUGAAUGAUUGUGUAGCAGUUUUAGAUGAAUGAUGAUAUCAUUUGAGAAAUCAUGUAAAGCCAUUGCUUUUGAAACGGCUAAAUUGAAGUGUUUAUUUUACGUGUGCUACUGAAUUUGUAAUUAGCUCACAAUCUCUCUAGUCACUUAAUUUAGGAAAAUUGGGACUACUAUUGUUAUUAGGAAAAGAAGAACGGAACAAAAUAACAUUAUAUUUUGGAAAAACAAAGACGGAAUAGGAUGCGUAUGAAAGUAUAUUUUUAAAUUUAUGAAAAAUAAUUUUAAAUUUUAAAAGGGUAACAAUCCCUAAUACUUAGAAUAUAAUAUUGUGAAAUAAACUAAUAAAAUCAAUGUAUCAAAAACAAAUAAAGCAAUAAAAAAAUGAUAACUUUAAAUAUUAAAAAUAAAAAACUUACAACCAUUGUUUUUCUUUUUGUCUCUUUAAAUUCAAAGUUUUCUUUUUAAAUUUUAUUUGAUAAGAUGGCUCAUAAAGAAUAUUAUGCUUCAUAUUCUAGAACAUAGUAUGUAUUUUCUUCUUUCUCUCUUUCUCUUUCUCUCUCAUCACAUUUCACUCUUUUUGACCUCUAAGAAUCAUAUUUUCAUUCUCAUCUUUACUUCCCACUAUCCCCUUUCCUCUUCGACUUCUUUUACCAUUUUAUUCCCAUUAAAAUUUAGUUUACUUUAACUAAAUAAAUUUAAUUAGCUUAUUAUUAUUAUUAAUAAUAAAAUAAUAAAUAUAUAUUUUUAUUUUUAUUUUUAGUUGAUAACAAUAAUAAUAUUAAUAAUAAUAAUAACAAUAAAAAUAAUAAUAAAGAUAAUAAAAUCAUAAAAAUAUAAUAAAAUUGAAAUAAUAAUAUUAAUAUUAUUUUAAUUAUUUUUAGGGUGUUACAUGUCUCCUUGGGCAAGCCUCCGUGCCAUGGACACCACCUCAUAGAGUAUCCAACAUAUGACAUAUGUCAUCCUAUCUGGGGUAUCUUACAAUUAUAUCACUAUAAAAAGAUACACAUAUUUUUCAUACAUCACUUUACCCUUUUUUAGAUUUAUUAGCUAACUUCGGUGGGCUAACCUUGCAAAAUAAAGUAUUUAUUAAAUAAAUUAUUUUAGACCGUUGUAUUUGAUUUAGAACUAAAAUUAUUAGUUGGACUUUUCAUUAUUGUUUAGUUGACCUUUUAGUGUUUAAGUCUUUUAUUUGACUAUCCGUUAAUAAUAUUAUAUAAUAAAGUAGUGCCUUGACGAAUUUUAGGAUAUCAAAUGAAUGUAAUUUUUUUUAAUUAGUGUUUUAAACUAAAACGAAAAAUAGUUGAAGAUCAAAUGGAAUAAAGUUUUUAUGCGAUAGAGUGAGCUUCUAGUACAGUAGAGUGAAAGUAAGACUCAAACAUAUAUGAAUGAGAAAGUAAUAUGAAUGAGAGAAUACUUGAUAUGAUAAGUGUUGAAUUUUAUAUAGUGUGAGUUGUUAAAACAUAUAUGUGAUAUUCGGCACCUCAUAUGAGAGUUAUCUUUCGAUUAAAUGUAAUGACGAAAAUAUGCUAAAGGUGGAAUCAUGUGUCGUCAGUUGGGGUGAGGUCUUAUAUGUUGUAUAUGUCUUUUCGUGUAAUAGUUGCUGCUGGAAUUUCUAUCUUUUGACGAACGGUCAAGAAUAAUAAAUUAUGUUUGGUUAGUUUGUUUUUUCUCUUAAUUUUAUUUAUUAUCCUGUAAAACAGAUUUAGUUAUUUAUAAGUAAAUUCCCCUAAAAUAACUUUGUAAAUAUAUCAUGAAAUGAAUCAAGAUCAAGAAAUCAUCUUGAGUUCUUCAAAUUUACUUCAUUCAUUGAAAUUAGGGGUGUUAAAAACCAAACCAACCCAAUAGAAAACCGCAAACCAAACCAAACCAAACCAAACCAAAAUCGCAAAAAACCGCAUUUGGUUCAGAUGCGUUUGGGUCAUUCUCUAACAAAACCGCACGGUUUGGUUUGGUUUGCGGUUUGUAUUUUUCAAACCGAACUAAACCAAACCAAACCGCAUUAUGUUACAACUCAAACUUCAAUUAUCCCACAUUCCAUCCAAAACUCAAACUUAGUAUGCCUUAACCUUCACAUUAAAACAUUUUCUCUAACUCACACUUAGGGUUUCAAUUUCAAAUUCUUAAAUCUCUCAUAGUAGUAUCGCACAUUCUUCUCAUCUUCUUUACUGUGUACGGUUCGCCUUUUCUACUAUAAUAUUUCCUCUCUUAUGUGUCUUUCUUUUUCUUUUAUGUACUAUUUUCUCUUCCAAUUACAUUUUAUCGCAUAUUCUUCUCAUCCCGCAUCUCUUAUGUUCUUUUUUUCAUCUUCUCUAAUGUCUCCUCUCAUAUGUUUUUUAUGUUUUAUUAUAAUGUAUUUGAUAUAUUUUAUUCUACUAUUAUAUAUAUAUUUUUUAUUCCAUUUUUGUCUAAUCUAAUUUUGUGUAUAUUGAAUGCGAAGUUUUUGUCUAAAUAUGAUAAGUUUUGAUGUUAUUUAGUAAUGUAUAAAUGACUAAAUACAAAGUUAUGUUGUUCUCUAUAUGUGUAUGUAUGGCUCAAUAAAAAUAUUAUAAAAAACCGAACCAAUCCAAACCGCAUUGGUUUGGUUUGGUUUGGUUUUAUUUCUAAAAGUCAACCGAACCAAACCGAACCGCAUGCUUUUUUCUCUUGCGGAUCGGAUGAUUUUUAUCGUCAAAACCGCCCAAACCGCACCGCGAACACCCCUAAUUGAAAUGGAUAUGCAAUACAUUGUUUCAUUUUCUUUUGUCUUUAUUUUUCACCCGAAGAUUUUUUCCUGUCACUUCCAUGAGAAACUUUCCUAAAAGGGUACUAGUACGAUCAUCCAAUCAUAAUAUAGGAAAUAGUCAAAUUAAUUGACUAUUGAGGUUUAGUGUUUUAAGUUGGAUCAACUCCUUCUAGUUGGUUCACGUGUAAGAAAGUACUGGUUUCAUGGAAUAUAUACAACAUAUAUAGGUGAAGGGUUUCUAAAUUCAUAUCUUCCCUCAUCUUUAUGUCCAAAUCAAAGCAUCAUUUUAAUUAAUAAUGACAACACUAGAAAAAACAAAAUGGUUGUUUUCUAGAGGAGUAAAAGUAUUCACCUAAUUCUUCUAAUCUUUUUCAUUUAAAAAAUGGAGAAGAAAAUAUUAUCAUUAGUAAAUGAAAACUACUCAUAGUUAUUUUAUAACUCUUUUUGACUGAAUUUAGAUUAUAUAUAAAAAGAGAAUAUAUUUGGAUCUAGUGCUUCAGAAAAACUAUUUUUAAAGGUUGAGAUCUAAAUGUACUUGUUAUAAGAGUUGAAUUAAAGUUCUAUAUUACUUAGAACAACAUCAAUUUAGAAUUAACGUUUAAGAUGUGAACCAAACAUAUUUAAAAUAAGAAAUAGACUAAUUGAAUAUCAUUAUCAAAUAAUUGAGUAUUUUUAUUUGGUUUCAUAUGAAAAUUUAUUUUAUUUCUGAAAUUUCUCCACAAUAUGGAUACCCAAUUUAAACUAUUUUGACACAAAUCCGGUUUUAUAAAUAUGGGUUUGAAUUUUAGACCCAUAUCCGAUCCUAGAAUAAAAAGGUCGACUGGACUCGAUCCGACCCUAGAAUAGGAAGGUCGACUCAACCCGACCCGACCCAUGAAAAGAAAACCGGUUAUUAACGAAAUGAUGUCUCCUUUAAGUUAACUUUUUAUUUUUUUUCUGCCGGUUUCCACUUGAGUGAGAAAACGAGGAACCAUUACAUAAGAGUAUAAUUACUUUUUCGGUUUUGCAGAUACAAAUUUCAAGCGUACAGAGAAAAUGAAAAUCGCGAAAACGGUGAUUCUUGUUCUACUAAUAUCGUUCCUUUCGGUUUUGCACUUCUCAAACGCUGAAGAAGAAGCUUUUGAUGUUCGCAAACAUCUCUCUACUAGAUCCAAGUUUUUCUCUUUCAUUCCCCUAAUCAUAAUCAACCAAAAUCUUUCGUGUUUCCUUUAUUCUGCUUCCUCAUUUUUGUUGCCUCUGAUUUUGACGAGACUUCUAUAUGCAUUUGUGAUUGCGUGUGUGUUUGAUCAAGUUUUUGAAACUUAUUGAGAUUGAUGAAAUUGCGCGUGUUAAUUUUCUGCUUAGGUACAGAGUUGUGAAAGACAUUACUGACAAGAACUUCAUUCCUUCUAAAAUUCCUGAAGGAUGCACUCCAAUACAUUUAAAUCUAGUGGUAAUUUUCUUACCAGUUUAGGGUUUUAUUAUUUCAUUAGUUAUGAAUGAUGUUCUACUUUUACCACACAUUUACGCUUGUUUUUGUAAUUUUCACAUAAAUUCCGUAUAUUUUAUAUUUAUAUGUAGCCUGUUCAAGAGUAUGAUAAUUGAUAAUGCUAUGUUACGUUGCCAGGCAAGGCAUGUGACCCGUUUUCCUACAAAGAAAAGAAUAAAGCAGUUGGAUAAUUUGUCAGCCCAUUUGGAAGUUCUUAUAAAGGAUGCAAAAGAGAAACAUUUGUCUUCGGAGAGAAUUCCUACUUGGUUGAAUGGAUGGAAAUCUCCUUGGCAAGGAAAGCUUAAGGGCUUUGAGUUAAUUAGAAAAGGAGAGGAAUAAUUAUAUGCUCUUGGAAUCAGGGUUAGAGAUAGGUUUCCAAGUUUGUUUGAUGAGGAUUACCAUCUAGACAUAUAUCCUAUAAAGGCAACUCAGGUGAGUUCAUCUUCAUUUUUAUCUUUAGGUAGAUUUGUUCUUUUGAAGUUUCUGGUAAUCUCAACGUACGUUAGAGUCACUAAUAGUUUUGGGAGAGUUAGAACACAUUGUUUUGAAUUAAUAAAUGAAUGCUAAUACAUCAUGAUUAGUUGCAGUGCCACUGCAACACUGAGAGUCUAAGACAUGAAUUUUCCUUUUGAUAUUUCAAAAGCUUAUGCAUCUCUCUUAUGUAUGCAAAAUAGAUUCCCCGAGCAUCAGCUAGUGCUGUCGCAUUUGGAAUGGGUAUUUUCAGUGGCAAUGGAACUCUUGGACCUGGGGAGCACAGAGCCUUUUCUGUUAUAAGUGAAAACCGUGCUAGUGACACCAUGCUGAGAUUUCAUGAAUGUUGUCAAAACUACAAGGUAAUGCUGUAGCAAUUAUUAAUUUCUCAGUAGGAUUUCUAAUGCAAAAGUUUCAUGUUUAUCUGACACAAUUACAUUACAUGUAAUCUGAUUAUAGAUUAGCCAAUUUCAUGUAUUUUAAUGUAUUUACAAUUAUGCUUCUAUGCAUUAUUGUUAUAUACAGUCACCCAAGCUGCAUGUGGCACUUUUUCUGCUGGGCGUAUAUUUUAGACCAUUUUUGAUGGCCAAUCAGGAAAAUCAUGUUUUUGUGUUCCUUUCAGCGAUAAAUUUGCUUAUAUUUUUCUGUUAUGUGCUUUCUGCUUACCGUUUUGUCCCGUCACACCGUUCCUACGGAGAUUAACAAAUUUAGUUGAAAUCACUAUAUUUGUCUAAUGUAGGCCUUCAUAUGUUGAAUAUGAAAGCAAUUUUGUGUUUAAAGAGAGGCUAUACUUAAAAUAUUCAUACAUAUGUUAUCUCUGUUUAUCUAAAUUGUAUAUUUUGUGAUCUUCGGUAGUCUUAAAGGUAUUGAAUGUUUUGUAACAAAAAAAGUAGUCUCUAGUUUUUUUCCUGACUUUUUUUUUUUAUGGUUAUAUGAUUUUUUUUAUGAGAGCAGGAUUUCAGGAAAAGGCAAGAGCCUGCAAUUGAUAAACUUAAGGAACCUACGUUAGAUGAGAUUACAUCUGCAUUAGUUGGGCGUUAUGGACUGAAUUUUACAAGGCAGGUUACAGCAUCUCUUUGGUUCUUAUGUAAAGAGGUGACACCAUUUCUUUAUUCCCAACUUCUUCUGAUUUUCCUUAUGUUUUUCUUUUAAGUUCAGACAUAAUCAUUUACUUGUGUCUUGGAUGUUAGUUAUUUUUGUUUUUCUGUUUCCAAUUGUCCGUUUUGUGGUUAUUUUGGUAAGAAGCAUCCUUGUUGGAUAUAACUGAUCAAGCUUGUAGCCUUUUCAGCCCAUCUGAGGUACUUCGUACUUUUAUGGCCAAGAUGUUGUGAUUUGGUAUUUGAUCUAACCUUUGACUUUUUUCUUUUUAUUUGCUUGGAAAUAUUUAAAUAUAGUAAAAAUUAAAAGAUGUCAGACCAUCACUUAAUUUUGACGUUAUGAUAUACAAGAACCAAGUUUUGAGUCCUUGAUAUGAUAUUUCUAUAAUAUGUCAUCUGACCUCAAAGAAACUGAAUAUGACGUUUUUCACGCUGUGAAUGCCAAGGAAGUUACUAUUGUUGAGUGUAUUCAAAAAACUCGUUUAGCCCCCCGCACAUAUAAUCAAGAUCUGUGGCUGAGUUUUUCUUCAAUACAUUUGUUUAAACUGAUAAAGGAUGCAAGUUAUGUUUACUUGAGUAGAAAAAGAGAUGACUCAAAUGUUGUGAGAGAUAUUUUUUAAACACACCACUGUUUUCUCCCCAACUCACGACAACCCUCCCUCUAUUUAAACAUCCUUCAUUUUUUCCUUAUCUUUCAACUAACCAACAUACUCAUAUCCAUCUUCUUUCCUUCACCAAAACACCAUAAAGAACAUCACAACAAACUCUCUUAAGCACAAGUUUCACUCCACACAAUACACUAUCAAACAUAACGUUCGUACAAGUAGACACCUCUCAUCCUUCACUCUAAUAACCUGCGAUUUCACCAUUUUCUUCUUCCACGUUCUGCAAACACAACCACAAACCUUUCUGUCGCCAAAAAUAAUGUCGGAUCCGCACAUCACCUUUAACCUCCAUCAAAACCACACAUUUUGUCGUUGUCUCAAAAAGUUAGUUUAUCUCUCAUACACAUUCAUGUAGUUUUAUUUUAUUGAAUCAUGAAAAAAAAAACACAUAUAUAUANAUUAAAAUAAAAAACAUAUAUAUAUAUAUAUAUAGAUAUAUAUAUAUAAUAUUAAUAUUAUAUAUAUACUAUAUAUAUAUAUAGGAGAGAGACGAGAGAGACGAGGAGAGGAGAGAGUAGAGAAGAGAUUGAUUAAGAUUAUGUAUUAUGAGGUCACUGAGAUGAGUGAGUGAUGUUACGUGAGAUAAGUGAGUCAGUCGUACAGAUAAUAUGAGAGCCCUUAGAUUCUAUCGAAUUUGUUAGUGAUGAACUAGUAGGAGAGUAGAGACUAUUAGGUGUGUAGAGUGAGUGAGAGAGAGGAGGUAUGAGAGAUGAGAGAGAGAGUGAAGGGACUGAUAUAGACGACGAUGAGGAUUAAGAUAUAGAGAGAAUGAUGUAGUAUGUGAGAGAUGGCUAUUGUAGUCUAGAGAUUUGUAGAUGUGUAGAGGUUUAGCCAGAGAUAAUGUCUGAGUAAGACGAGCAGUAGCUUUAGUUACUUGAUGUAUUCGAGGAGAUUUAGUGUAUGCAAAGUUAUAGUUUGACCGAUCGUUACUUGAGAUGGUAGAUGUCGAUUGCAGCAUAUAGAUAGUAUGUAUUGGAGAUAUAGAGAAGAGUGACAUUUUGCGAGUGAAUGAGGUAUGUAGAUGUACUCGAAGCAGUAGUUGAUGUUGUACGUGAAUGUCGAGUUAAGGGUAUAUAAUCAAAGAAUUUUGAACGCAUGACUGUGUAGAGUGACCGUUGAGAGGUAGAGAGAAUAUAUGAUCGAUGCGAUCAAUUGACCGUUGCGAGCGUGUAUGAUAAAUACGAUCAAGAAGCUAUGUAUUAACGAGAGAAUUAAAUCGUCGCAGAUUUAAGGACCAAUGAAAGAGAAGUAGAUGGUGAUAAAGAAAUAUCGUAAGAUAACUUCAAUUUGCUAUGUAGAAUGAUUGUGUAGGUAUAGCUAGAAUUUUUUACGAUCGAGUAAGAGAGUAUUCUCCAUGGUGAUGAGAUAGGUGUAUGAUUUGUGUACUGACUCUAAGAAGAGACGCUGUGUUAAAGAGUAACGAUCAUUGUAUAUGCUUUAUUGUAAGACUUUGAUUAAUCCUUUAGAUUAUAUGUGUCAAUAUGUCUCGUUAAGAAGUUUUGGAAAACCCUAUUAAUCAUCGAGUUUUAACGACGUGCGAGUUCCGAGCGGUACCCCGAUGAAAGAGCAAUAUUUGAGAUCAACUGAGGCAAUUCUGCUGUAUAUUGCUAUAAGAGAGUAUGGGAUUGAUAGAUAUGUUGACGAGGUGAGUAGAGGACGAAGAGAUUAGGAUGUGAUAGCUUAUAUGUGUGAUUCUCUUCUCUUGCUUAUACUUGACUCCUCCACAGUAUGAUAUUAACCAGGUUUUUUCCACGGUAUAUACAAAUAACAAUGUCGUGGAAGGAGAAAUUCAGAAGAAGUUCUCUUCUUCACUAUGUGCGAACCUCUCAUCUCGUCUGUUCUAGCUAAUAUCUCCGCCAUCUAAUGUCGUGCUCGCACGAUGCUGGGUGCUUGAUUAUCCAUUUGUUGUAUCGAUUCUUUUUUUCCUUCAUCUUUUAUCUCAUUUUUGUAUUGCUUGUUUUUUGUUUUGUUGUGAUUCUCAUUUUCGUGUACUCGAAGAUGCCCUCGUGUCAUUGUUUAUAUGGCGUUGUCUCGUUGUAGGUUCAUCCGUUCCUGUCCUCGAUUUUCCAGUGCGGCUAGGCCCCCCCCACUGGCAUAUUAUCCGAUGUCACUAUAUUUUUAAUAUCAUUUUUUUGAUGAGUUUUGCCAGGGCGGUACGUGCCGCCUUCGUACCAGAAACAUGAAGUGUACUAGCUCUGGGAUACUUAGCUUUACAUUGUUACGGUCACAGUGUUUUAAUUUUCUAACUGAGUUUACGAAAGCUAAUAGACUCGAUCAAUAAUACCGACACGCAUAACAUGUGUGAAACCCAUAAUGCGCUACUGUAAAAAUAGUAGCCUUUAUGUAAUUCUUUCUGGAAAGAUUCUCGUUUUAGAUCGUGAUGUUGGUGAGUAUGUUCUGAUGUGGUUUCUGUCCUUUGUGUGUUUUCUUUUCUUUCUGCUUGGGCUCAUUGUUGGCUUUUGACUCCUGUUUUAACUCAAUACCUACAAACACGAGUUUCCGUUGGUAAUGAUUUAUUUGACCUUCAACCAAUAAUGAUCCCCCACACAAAACUAUAUCUAAACUAAAUACCAUAAUUGUAGUAAUAAUUCUAUUUAAUACAUACGGACAAAUAUGAUAUAGAUUUACAAUGAAGCAAACAUACUGAAGGCUCACUCUUUAUAUUCUUUUUAAAGUGGAGAAAUAUAAAUAACUGAAUACAACAUACCUUUCAUUCUGUUAAAAUGAUAAUAACUACUCCCAUGUCAUAUAGACUGCCCGGAUGCCCGCUGUGUGUUCUUUCAGUGACCUGGACGGUAGCGGGUCAUGUCAGGCUAUAGAAAACCUCAAGAUGUAUUAUAGGUGCCGUGGUUCUUAAAGUAGUGGGCGGGAGUUGUGGGAUGCCAAAUCCAUAGACUAAAAGAUGAAUUUCAAGCAAGCAUGUAAUCCUCAAAACAUGAUCACCCUAAUCUCUCUUCCUACUAACCUACAUAACAAAUUAAGAUCAAGAAGGAUGAAAGUAAAAAAUUUAUAGAAUAAUGUUAAUCAAUUACAAGUAUUUGAUAUAAGGAUGCCAAAAUUUUGAAUACUUUUGUGUAAUAAGUGUAAUUUACAAAUGACUGUUUGGUUCUACAGAACGCAAAGGCUCAGAAUGAAUACAAAGUGAAGGCACCACGAAUGGAAUCAGAGAUGAGAUAUUGGUUUUGUAAUUCAUAACAUAUGUCCUCCUGACUAUGUGGCCAAACAAGAUAAUAUUAUCCUGGAGGUAUAAUGGUUCGGAGUUUCGAGUACACUAGGUUUUCCUGAAUCCGCACAUGACAAGUUAUCGUGAAUGUUUGUCAAUUUUUGAUGAUUCAUAGAAGACAAAGAUAAUUAUUAAUUUGAUAAUCGACAACUAUUACACAAUUAGAGGAUCUUUGGUGAUGUUUGGAAUCAAAUGGCACAUCAAGGGAAAAUCAGGGUAGUAGAUCACCAGUUGUGUCUGUGAUACCUGCAACGAUGAGAGUAAUAUGAGCGAGAUGUUUAAUUGGCUUAUCAUGCGGUUUACCACCCCAUUGGCCAACAAUGUAAGUUAUGAAGGUCCCUUGAUGCCACAUCAAAAAACACAAUUUUUUGAGGAGUCCUUCUUUCUCAAAAUAGUGAACUUUUCAAGUCUAUACUUAGAGUGCAACAAAUUUUCCCUAUCUGUCAUGAUUCAUUUAAUUAUUCUCAACCCCCCUAAUUCAGUGUUUAAUUUUCAUUAUGGGAGUAUUAUAAAAAUACCUAUCUGUUAAGAGCGAGUUCGUGUAUUAUUGAACUAGCAAAGUCAGUUAUAAGGUGUGGCAGAGAAAAACCUAAGGUUCAGGUCACCUUGACAGUAUGAUUCAAUUAUUAUUUUACGAAAAUUUAGAUUUCAUGAUGUUGUAUCAUUCAACAAUCAAACAACCGAAAACCCAAAACAUUUUUGUCAAUAAAAUAAUUUUUUAUUAUUCAAGUAACUAGUUUUUCCAUAUCUGGUUUGAUACUCUAGGUUGUUGACUCACACAACAUUUACUUUGCAAGCAAACUUGUUGUGAUCCCUGCCAUCAUGGUUUUUGGACUAAGAAUGGAACCUCAAUUUAUGGUGCUUCUUGUGCUACAUUAAGUCGAUGGUAAAUGAUACAUGUUUUUCCUCUAGGAUCAAGCUUUGCUAGAUAUAUAAGUUGUGGAUCUAAGAGUUUGCUUAUGGAACCAAGAUAUAAGGAAAUCCUUUUGCAUACUCUCAGAUUCCAAUGUGAGUUCAGAGGUAAAAUUUAUGUGUGGUACAUACUAACAUGUUUCAUCCUUUGCAUAGUGUCACUUAGAGGAAAGUGAUAAUUUUUCCUUUUUUUUGUCAACAAGUUUAAAUUACUUUUAUUAUCCAAUACAAAUUUUAGUCCUAUGUGUUGAUACUUAGUUGUAAUCACCAUUAAGUGAGUUUAUGUAAAUAUCUACUUAUUAAUUGUUAGGUUGCCAUCAAGACUUUGGCCUUGGUAAUGCGACACCUCUAAAUUUUUAGUCGUGGCGGACGAGUGUAUCUUUUGUUAUAUCUGGAGAGUGUCUUUGUAUGUAAAUCGUCUUGGUAAAUUAAUACAUGGCUUAUCCUAUAGAUCUGAAGUUUUCUGUUAGAGGGUGUGAUGAAGUUGAUUAUAGAAAACUAAUGAAAUUAUUUUUUGUGGGAUACAGAUUCCAAUGAGUGAGUUAAAGAUCAAUUUUGUGGUACAUACUAAUGGUAUGCUCCCUUUAUGAUAAUAAUGUGCCACUUAUUGGGACCGUGUAGAGAGAGAGAGAGAGAGAGAGAGAGAGAGAGAGAGAGAGAGAUGACAUAAGUUGAAGAAGAAGAACUUUUUCCUCCUGUUUCGUGUUUCACGUGGGAUGAGAGAGGAAAAGGAUUUGUGUUUUAUUUUUGUAAUUAUUAUUCAUUGUUAGGCUACGUGUUAGUUUGUGAUUAAUGGGUUUUAAAAUUUUAAAACAUUGAUUCUAAGGAUUAAAGUCUACCUAAACAUGAAUUAGGAAACAAACUAAUCAAAUUAGAAAUUAGUAAUCUAAAUCAUGCAUUGAGUUCUAAUAUACAUGAUCAUGACAAUCGUAAUGUGAUAUACGGAUCAAAUGGAAAUUAACCUAAGAUCUAAUCAUGGUAAAAUCUAUACUUAAUCAUAUAAAUCCAAAUCUUGAAUUAAAAUCAACGAAAAUGGAUUAACCAAAAUUCUAAUGGCAAAUUACAUCCAAUCAAAGCACGGUUAAACUAAUUUUGAAUUAAAUCUGAAAAAUCAAGAUCAAAGUGAAGAAAUUGGUUAAACCUAAAUUCUAAAUCUAACUAAAAGCACAAUAAUUCCUAAUUAACCAUGACUUAGCCUAAUUACCCACAAACUAUAUUAAUCCCUAAUUAACAAAAAUCUAAAAAAACCUAAAUUUAGCACAAUUAAGAAAUAACAACAACAUGAUUAAUCAAUAAGGAAAAAAAGAGAUUAAGAUAAAUUAAUAAAAUUAAGGAUGUAUAUGAGCAUUGGGCCAAGGGUAAUACCAUUGGAGGGAGGUGUAGUUCAAGAACACAAGUGCUUGGUUAGGCCAAAAGGCCCAAAUCCUUCACAACCCAAAUCCGGAUCCAGUCAUUGUCGCAACCUGAAAAAUAUAGUGUGCGAAAAAACAAUCGGCGAAAAAAAAUGACAGAAGAGUCGCCACCGUGCGUUAUUUAUCCCAAAGGAGGGGGAAGGAAACGCUCGAAGUAAACCUGAAAAGAGGAAAGGAAAAGACAAGGUCUCAGAACCAAAUCUUGGGUUCGGGAGUCGGUUAUGCGAAGGGAAGGUAUUAGCACCCCUACGCAUCCGUAGUACUCUACGGGAUCCACUUUUGUAGUUCUUGUCUAAAGGGUGUGAGUUUAUCUUGUGUUUGUGUUGUUUACUAAAAAAGGGGGUUAAAUGAAAAUGACUCGCGCGGAUGUCGCAUCCACUACAUACGUAUCUCAUCUGAAUAUGAGAAUCAGAGUCUUCGUAGCUCGACUGACCUAUGGGUUGGGGGAUGUGUGCUCGCUAAGAGAUCGUGUUUUAUGUCUACGUAUCUCAUCUGGAAUGAGAAUCAGAGCAAACCGUAGUUCGGCUAACUACGGGGUUAUGGAUUGGGUUUUGGACGAACGACGUUACGACGCAAUCUACCGGAUGCUCGACCUUUGGAGACUUACUCGCCUGUAGUAGAAGGAGUAAACGCAUGUUUAGGAGAAGAAAAAUCAAUGAAGGGUUAGGGUUUGGGAUGCUCAUGCAAAAAGGCAGUCCUUGACGAAGGAACCUGUAAAAAAAAACACACAAAAACAUUGCCUCCUAUCGAGGUCUUUCAGCUAGGAAAGAGAUCCUCUCAAGCUGAUUGGAGAGCUUGAUUGAAAUUGAGUUGCACCCGUGAGGUUUACAAAACAAUCUUUAGGGUUUAUGUGAGGCAGAGGUGAUUCUGUGCAGUUGAGUUCCCUUCAGGUUUGGAGGCUACUCUGAACUCUGUUAGCUCUUGUCUCACUAUCUUUUUCCCAGAGUUCUUCUCUCACUAUCUUUUUUCCAGGCAGGGUAAAUAGAAAUAGAAUGGCCUUUUGUUUCACUGAAACUCUGAAUUUAUAACCUGAUUUUUGUGGACCUGUGGGCUCAAAUGAGAGAGGUCCAAGUCCAAGAUUUUUUCUUUUAUUUAUUUAUUUUAUUUUUUAUUUUUUAUUAUUUUUUAUUAUUUUAUUAUUUUUUUUGUUUUUCGUUAUUUAUUUAUUUAUUAUUAUUAUUUUUUAAAUGAAUGCAUGCAUGAGGUGUAAAGCGUAUGCUUCCAGGAAAAAUGAAGGGUAAAUUUUGGGGUAUUACAGCUGCCCCUAUUCAAUCAACUAGAGACCUGGAAAGAAGAUAACAGCGGCUUUCGUGCUUUCGAGGUAUCAAGGGAUUAAAUACAAUAAAAGCCCAAAAAUUUGCACUGAAGUGAAGUGAAGUAACAAUGCCUGUCAGAAUCGGCAAAGAGGUGGUCUUGAAAGAAGAAUCCGUUGCGUCGUGAGAGUCUAGUCUGAAUACCGAACAAAGAAUGCUAACCUGGAAUCCCAAUAAAUGGUAACACAGAAAUAACCAUGGCUUGAAUGCCGCUCAUCAGUCUGAAUACUGGAAAUGACUUCGAUCUGAACAUCGGGAGAUAUGAGAUUAUUAAUAUCGGUCUGAACACCGAGGGGUUGGCCUGAAUGUCACAAGUUGCAUCGACCUGAACGUCGGAAACUUCUUCGAUCUGAACAUCGGAAAAUUGGCCUGAAUGCCACAAGUUGCAUCGACAUGAAUGUCGGAAACUCCUUCAACUUCGCUCCUAUUACAUCAUGAUGCUGAAUUUUACCCUUCACUUUCGUUUAUGUCCGUUUUGGAUGAAGAGUGAAGAUGUUAUUGAUGUGUGAUGAGUGUUGGAUUGGGAGUUGGUGUUAAAAAAGGAACUGAAGUUUCAGUUUGGAUUUUUGAUUUUUUCCAGUUGGAGAAUUGAAUAUGGUUUUGUUAUAAGUUUUUAUGAAUUCUCUUUUCUGUUUCCCCUUAUUGUUACAAAUUUUUUAGGGUGAUUAUGAAGUCAACAAAGUUCUGCAAGUGAGUGAGUCCUUGGAGGUUCCCCAUUGUAGUUAGUUAUAACAGUUAGUAGUUGGUUAGGUUAGUGUUAAUGGAACUAUAUUGAAUAAUUUCUGUUAAAAAAUCAAUGAACUGAUAGUUUGUGUUGUUGUACUUGAAAAAAGUAGUUAGAACUUUAAUGUUAGAAGUUAAAUUUUGUUAUGGUAGGUUAGUUAUGUAAUGAAUGACGAGUUGAAAUGAAUGUUUUGCCUUGUUUGUUAUACUUUGACAUUUGCUUGUGCAGGUUCGGUUUUGAUAUGGGGAGCAAAAGGAUAACCCACAAAUGAAUGGAAGGCCAAGUUUGGAGGAUGAUGGAACUUGAAGAUUAGGUGUUUAGAAACAAUAUGCUUAUGAUAUUUGUGUGAUUUUCUAUGCAUUGAAUGUGUAAUUUUCAUGGAAGAUGGCUUGAGGAAUCAUGACUUCGCUUUAUAGAACUUAAAAUUGUAAUGGUUUAUGUUUGCAUUGAAUGUAAUUUGGAAAUUCAAAUGGUAAUGGAAAUGAUGCUUAAUGAUCAUGUCUAUGAUUUGGUUCAUGUGGAAAAUGAUUGGUUUAACAUGGUUUAAAAUGGAAUAAUGUUUGAAAUAUUGAAUGCUUAAAAAAAUGGAAAGUGGAUUAAUGGUGGAAAUGUAAAGAUAAUCAUUUGAAUGUAUGUCACUUUGAAUGGAAAGAUGGUUGAAUAUGGUUUGUGAAUGAAUGUAAAUGAAUGACAUCAAUGUACUUGUACAUGGAAUAUAUUGGUAAUUGAUUUAACGUAAUUGGAUUAUGGUUAAAUGCCAUGGAAUUGGAAAUUAAAAUUACCAUGAAGUUGAUGUAUUGUGGAAAUUGGAAGUAUUCAAAAUGAUUGUUGGAUUGAAUCAAAUGGUUCAUGCAAAAUUAAAAUAUCAUAACUAUGAAUGAAUUGAAAAUCGAAUUGAAAUGGUCUAUAUGGGAAUCUUGAAUGUGAUUUUUGGAUUUGAAGAUUGAAUUAAAAUGGUCUAUUUGGGAAUGACAAUGAUAUGGUUUGAAUUAAUCUAAACAUAGUUAAAAAUGAACAUCAAUGGAGAAUGAACAUGGUUUAACUAAGCUUACAAGUGAGCAUGAAUAUAAACAUGAGUUAGGACUAGGAAAUCAAUUUUGAUUAGGUGGUUGACUUUGGUCAACUGGUUGACCAAAAAGUCAAUAGUUGACCCAAAGUCAACUUAACUGAAAAUGUGUAUUUUGUGUGGAUAAUAGAAUGUGGACCACAAUGCCUUUGAACCAAAUGACUUGUGCUAUUGCGCUGAUCUUGAACCAAUGAACACUAAACAAGCAAAAGAUCAUGAACAUGUGAAGCUUUGAAUGAAUCAUAAUCAAGGAAUUUAGACAUGAACGAGUAUGACCUUGAAUGAAUCCUUAAUCAAUGAAAUAUGACCAUGAAUCUUCCAAACACAUGAACCAACCAUAAUGGACCAGAUGAAUCAGAUGUACCUCAAACUUAGAUGCACACAUAAAUGAAUGAUAAGGCCAUAACUGUAAAUUAUUGUUUUAAGGAUUGAAUGACCUUAAUGAUGCUUACACCUAACACCAAAGAAUUAGGGUUUUCAUUAUGCUCCAUGAUAAAUAUAACCCAAAUGGAGGGUUCACUAAUCCAAACAUGCCAUGGAAGACCCCUAUCUUAGGACUCAACCACUCUUCAAUGUUUUAUGUGAUCAAGACCCUUGAAUCCAUGAUUUUGUGCUUCUUAAUGAAAAUGGAAUAUACUAUGAUACAUGGAUAUGUAGAUGAGAUGAAUGCGUAUUAGGAUAUGCAAAUGAUUAGGAUUAGUGAUCUAGAUGAUCACUGUGAAGGGUAUGGUGAAUUUCGGGGUAUGACAAUGCUCAUCCUCGCCAUCCAUCACCUUUCGAGCGCCCAUCAUACACAUGCACAUACUGGGAUCCAACCGUCACAUUCUCGGGUUUGCGCCAUUUGAAAAAAAACCACAUUAAUAAAAUUUAUAGAAAUUAUUCAAACCGGAUGUCUAUUAUCAAAGAUAAUCGAUGGCUAAAAAUUUGGCCGCCUCAGAUAACUAUGAGGUAAGUGAUCUGAUAGUUUAUUUUUUUUCCACUGAAUAACUUGUAUGUAAGUUCUCCGAAGAGUAAUUUUGAAUCAUAAUAUCAUAGAACUUGCUCUCAAAACUUCCGAUGUUACAAUGUAUGUAUCAAAUAACUUUGAGGUAAAAUUUCCAGUGACUUUUUUUUUUAUCAAAUAACUAAAGAGAAAUACUUUCAAUUUUAUAUCUGUGGACCGAAUAAUUUGGAUUGAAGAGUUCCGAUAUGUAACAAUCUUUUACUUGUAUUACCGACUUGGAAGACAUCAGAAUAAAAGAAGAAAAAAAAGUUAAAAUUUAAAACAAAUAAAGAAUUUAUACAUAUGCAUUUUAGUCAAAUCUAGUACAUUAUAGGGGUUGAGAGAUAAAUGUUUGGGUAUAGGAAAAAUCUUAUCAGGAGCUCUACCAUAAUUUUGGGCCUAACAUGCAUAUAAGAGCCCAACAACAUCAAGCCAAACCAAUAACCCAUUUCUAUCAUCGCUAUAUCCUCCUUCGCCACACUCUGAAAAACCAACUAAACCCUCAUUUCACACUUCAAUUCAUCACCAAACAGAAACAAAACCAAAACCAGUUAUCCUCUGCGAUUCACAGAAGAAAACACAAAGCAAAAACCUAACAUCAAUGGCUCCGAAUUUGGAAUGUCGCAUGUACGAGGCACGGUACCCAGAAGUAGACAUGGCAGUGAUGAUACAGGUCAAGAACAUAGCCGACAUGGGUGCUUACGUUUCACUCCUCGAAUACAACAACAUCGAGGGUAUGAUUCUGUUCUCUGCGU